UAGCGGUCCACGCACGGCCGCGGUGAGCAGCACCGCGCGGCCGCGGCACAGCGCGACGGCCUCCUGGUCGUCGAGCUUGGCAGUGUAUACCGUCCACUAUACUUGCCCCCCAUUAAUGGCAAAUCAGUCAUUGUUCCUGUGGGAUCUCUAGCUAUAGCUGCCUUUGCAUUUGGGACUGCCUCCAGUUGGCCAAGAAAACUGUGGAAUUUGUCAUCUGUUUAAUCCCUAUUUGUGUCUGCAAUUCGUUGAUCUGUUCUGUACUUUUCAUUACUUUUAAUCGGUUGAAUGAGGGGCAAAUCAUAUGCUGCUGUUAGAUGAGGGGUAAAUUAGUCAUUGUUUGAUGAAAGUCUAAAGUUAGGCUAUGGAUCCAAACAGCCCAGCAGGACUAAAGUUUAGGGGCUAAAGUUUAGCUCAUGGACUAUUGAUCUAAACACCACCUUAGUUUAGGAUGGAGGGAGUACAUCUUAUAACGUUUUCCAUUGAAAAGAGCGUAGUCAUUACAGUAUUUCCACUGUCUAUAAUAAAGAAAGUGGUGGUAUCAUAUUAUUUACGUAAUAAAGAUAUAGGUGUUAAUUUUAUACAGAAUUACAUAUUUUGUUUUUUAACUACAAUACUUUUUUUCUUGGAGCUUGCUGUGGACAAACAUAGUGAAACGGAAUACAGUAGUGUUAAAAUACACAUUUUGGAAACCGUGUAAAUGUAUAGUGUGGAUGUUAUGCUACAACGAGCACUUGGGUUUUUGUGUUCAUUCAGAAUUUAAGGCUUGAGAUGGGAACUUAGGGCUGUUUGUUUGCCCUCUAGAUUAUAUAAUCUGUUGUGGGCAACAAACAACUCAGAAUAUUGUGCAGAUUAUAAUUACACCCCUAGAUUACCAUAAUCUUGCUGCUCAAGAGAAGCUUAUUUCAGUUUAUUUCUAGACCAACCAUCUACACCUCCAAUAAUCUGGGCAAACAAACAACCCUACAGAGAUUAUAUAAUCUAGGACCAGUAAUAAUCUGGCACCAAUAAGCUGGAUUAUAUAAUCGGGCAAGGGAAUAAACAGGGCCUUAUUAACGUGUAUGUCCUAUGGUCUAUCGUCACAGCUAUCGAGCUUACUAAAAGUUCAUCAGGACUUUUUUUUAAAGAAAAAAGGUCCAAGAAUCAAGACCCGCGUGGCAUUGAAAAAUUCAUACCUCUAGUUUAUCUUCUUUCGCCCUGUGGUUCUUUGGAAGCCUGCGGAAAUCCUCAGUUAAGCUAAGACAUUGCUGAAUGUUCUCUGGAGAUACAAAGUCCAGAGCAAUCUUGGUGCAAGACUGCAUAGGUAAAAGUAUUACACAUUCAGAUGCAGAACAUGUCAAACUUGAGUAGUCCUCAUCUAUAGCAUUUGAAACUGGGUAUUGGAAGAGCGCAUUGGCAAAUUUACCUUGAGAUUCCGUACUUGAUGAGGACACCCAGCAGGUAUAAAAACCGCCUCUCCAAGUCUUUGUACAAACGUCCAUGGUUCGAUUCCUACAACAGCAUAUCAAAACUUUUAGCACUGAGCACUGUAACUAUUCGCACUGAAGGAUUUUUGUAAAAAUAUAUAAAUAGAUAAUGCAACUCACCAUACUCCUCUUUGAGCUUCCUCUUGUGUUUGUUUGUUAGAUAAAAUGUUUCAUCAUGCACAGGGUUAAAAGUCUGCAUUAAAAGCAACUGUCACAAAGUGAUAAACAACUAUUUGUCUGCACAAGCUCAUUUGGAGAUCACACUGAAACUAACCUUUUCAACUGGAGAACAGUACAUAUGGCGAAAUUCUUUGGAAUGUUUCGUGAGGUAUUCUUUUAGUUUUCCAACAUCCUCCCUCCUGAAAAUAUCCCAUAAUGCACCUCCCCCAUCAUCUGCACAGUAAAUUGGGGAUGUAUCUGCAUGCUCCAUGCUUGUAUCAUUUCCAUCUGUUGCUACCUUCUCCUUUUUAUCCUGUUCUGUAUGCCUUAUUUUCAAGUUUCUUAUCUCCCGUUUCUGUUCUUCAGAGGGCUCAACCUUAAAAGUAUGCAUCAAAACAUUGACCUGACAUAAGAAAUAACAAGAAUUAAUGGAAACAAGUUUAAAGCGAGAUACUAAGCAUUCUCUAUUGGGGUAUUAAUUGGCUUAAAAAAUCCAUCGAUGCAAGCCAACAUUAAAAGGGGGGAAAAGUUCUAUCAUGUAGGUAAGGAUGAAGCUCUCUCUUCAUGCAGACACCUCGCUUAAACAGAGAAAAAAACCAUUCAAGGACUUGAUGAACACAGUCCAGUAUGAUAUAACUAUGUCCAAUGAAUUGGUGUAAAUCGUUCUCAAUCCAAUAGUGUAAUUAUUUACUUACCGCAUCAGACAAGUCACAAUGAAGCUUUGUAACAGAAUCUCCUCUGCUGAGUUCCUGUGCACAGCCAUAAGCUAUAUAUGAUUUUGGGCCCAUGUCAAGCUUUAAGAUGUCACCAGGAAGCAAUGCAGAGAUAUUUAGCAAGCCAGAUUUCAAAUUUGUGUAUGGUUGAAAUGGCAAGGAAUUGAUGUAUUUCCUUCCAUGGGAAGGCAAAAUAUUUUCAAAGUGGUUUGAAGUUGGCCAGUCCUUUAAUUUAAGCAUUUCAGGCCAAAGAUUGCGAUACAUCCGACCUUCAUAAUACCCUUCGAAAAAGUCCUUGGUGCAUAUCUCGACCUGCAUAUAUAUAGAUAUAUAUAUAAAAGUAAUCCACUGGUUGGAGUCUUUUGGUCCACUAAGUCAAAAUCCAUUUGAAGGAUAAAACUCUAUCCAACUCACCCACAACACAAACCCACUCCUUAGCACCAGCAAUUUUAGCCUUCAUUAUCAGAUUUCAGAUAGAAAAGUUCUAAGUAGAAUACAAACAUGAUUGGAUAUUUAUACCUAGUUGACCUAGUCAGGUGAUCAUACAAACACCUAUAGUUUUGUUUGGUAAACAGAUAUGGAUAUCUCGAUAUAUGCCAUGGCAAAACGAAACGAAGUAACAGCUGUGUAAAUGCUAGUUAGUUUCGUAUAAACCACAGGUUACAACAUUAUAACAGAAUAAUUUAUGUAGCAUUGAUUUGCAGUUGGAGGAAUGUAUUGCACUAACCUCACAGCAAGAUAGACAGUCAGUGGCUUUCACUUUUUUCAUCUCAGAACUAGAAUUGGUGCCAUGUAUUUCAGACCACAUAGCUGGUGGCUCCCAGCUAAAAUGAGACAUUUUCUUGAGUACCCCUUGCACAAUUACAGGUUCUCCUUUCACCCAAUGUUUCUGGAAGUGCUUGAGAUCAUCUGGCUUCCCGCCAUCUGAUAUUGGACAGUAUAUGCAGUUAUCGGCUGACUUUUCUCUGGUGGCAGCUUUCCUUGAACUUUCAUGAUUAGCUGAACAUGAGCAUUCACAUGUAUCUGUACUGAUGAUAUCAGGUUGUAACUGCUUGCUCAUUUGCAAAGCCGCCAUUUCAAGCUUACUUAACCUAUCUUUUUCAAAAAAUUGUCUCAACUCAAGAACAUGGUUGCCACACCCACCAAGUUCAGAUGGAGGGCAAUGAAUGGUUCCGUCAGGAUCAGCUUCCCACUUGACAGACUCAGAUUGGUGACUAGGCAAACCUGUUUCUUCGUUAUUGAUUAACUUGGAAUCAGGUGGUGGAUCAGGAUCACCACCAUGCACACACCCACCAAGUUCAGAUGAAGGGCCAUGAAUGGUUCCAUCAGGAUCAGCUUCCCACUUGAUAGACUCAGAUUGUUGACUAGACAAACCUGUUUUCUUGUUAUUGAUUAAAUUGGAAUCGGACAAUGGGUCAGGAUCACCACCAUGCAUAUAGUCGUUGCCGCGCCCACCAAGUUCAGAUGGAGGGCAAUGAAUGGUUCCAUCAGGAUCAGCUUCCUGCUUGAUAGACUCAGAUUGGUGACUAGGCAAACCUGUUUCUUUGAUUAAGUUGGAAUUUGGCGAUGGACCAAGAUCACCACCAUGCAUAUAGUCAGGUCCUCUUUCAGGAUAAUCUACCGGUGCCUCCUGGCAAGAACCCUCAAGAUGGCAUUCACGAAGCUCCUUACAACAGACGAUGCAUAAAUCGUACAUGCAGUCUGGGCAGCUUCUAUGUAGAUCAAAUAUUGAUGUUCUGCAAUUGUCACUGGUUCACAGAAACAGAUUUUAGACAUAUAGGACCAAAAAUCACAAGCAAAAAUGAAACAUUACUCAACAAUUGUCAGCAUCCAGUACCAGAACACCCUCUCAUCCCUCCGGAUUUCAGCUUGCUCGACAAUCAAUUCUGACAAUUCCAAUCCUGUUUGGGGGAAAUGAGGGGGUGACAUUAAAAAAACAGUUGAAAGCCACAUGAAGCUAGUAAGUUAUUCCAUAGGAAUCUAUUUUACCUUGAAUUCUGGCCUCCACUUCUUUUUCUUCCAUCUGAUCCUUGCUGAGUUGUGUCAAACAUGGCAACAGAUAGUGCAACAGGUAGCUGGCAUAUUUACGUUUUGUUUCAGGAGCAUCAGUGCUCACAUCUGACGUAUCCACCUCAUCCAACAUGGCAGAUGCAUUAUUCAUCAUAUUUGUCCUCACAAUGGAGUGGUCAAUUCCUUUAGUCUGCCGUGCUGCACUAGGAAUCCUGUGCGACUCCACACAUGCAGAAAUGGGCCUUUUCUUCCUUGUAGUUGAUCCAAUGCUAUUGCAUUUCUUCAAAACCAAGCUCUAAUAUAGGAGAAAGUAAACAUUCUCAGAAAUCAGCAAACUGUCAUGAUUUGGGAAUUUGAGAUUUCUUAUCAACGACUCACUUAUGACUUCAAAUAAAUUAUGUAAGCCAAACUCUACAAACAAUUUUGCCCACUAUCAGUGAAAAAGGAUUAUCACCAUGUAACAGAAUGGAACAUAAUCCAAAACAUAGCAGUAUAUAGCACAACAAAGAACAAUGCUCUCUAAACAUGGAACCACGAGAAAUUAAGUGUUUAUGACUGGAAAUUUGAGAUUUUUGAAGCAACUACUCGCUUAUGAAUUCACAUAAAUCAUGUAAGUCAAAUUCUACAAAUAACUCUGCCUAGUACCAGUAACAAAGAGCUCAUUAUCAAAAUGUAAUCAAACGGAACACACCCCCACGACAUGUCAAAAAAGAAAAGAAAAAUGCUCUACAAACAAGAAGCCAGAAGAAAUUCAGAAAUUUAAUUGCUUCAAAUCAUGCGGAAUUGCUGGUGUGUGCAUGUACAAGGGUGGCGAGCUCAAAAGGCACAGGAUGAUCACCUCGGGCCCAACUUGUUUAUCCUUGCAGCUCGUACAGUUGCAGACUCCGCGGCAGGAGGGGCACCGCUCCCUUACCUCGGCGUCUGACAUCGUUGGGUACCUGCAGAAUCACAAGGUUCCCUGACGAUUCCCAAAAGGAGUAGGAGGACAGAACGAUGCGUGGUAUCGAUGGGGAGCAGCAGCAUUACCUCUUCCUGACGCAGGGGACGCAGUAGAUCCUCUGUUCGCACAUCUCGCACCUGAUCAUGUCCUUGGGGCUCUGCGUCGCCCUCUUGCACCGGUGGCACGACCUCCUGACCCUCCCGCCGGCCUGCUUCCUCCCGGCGCCGCCUGUGCCACUGGUGCUCGGCGCCACGUACUCCCCAUCUUCCUCCGGCGCCGCAGCCGCAGCAGCAGCAUUGACACCCUCCUCCGGCGAAGGCUCUCCGGUGCCCCGCGGCGGCGCGCCCUGCCCGGACGGCCGGCGCUCGGUCGCCGCAGCGGCACGCCGGCGCUUGGGACCCGGCCCCACGCCCGGGCGGCGCCCCCGCGGCGCCGUCCUCUUCCGUUUGCCCCUGCUGCUCUUCCUCUCCUGCUCGACACCCCAGUCCUCGUCCUUGCCGUCCUUCCCCUCCUCCUUCUCCUCCCCCAUCCCCCCUCGCCUCUCCUCGCCCUCCUCAUCCACCGCGCCCAUCCGCCAUCCUCCCACCGGCCCCAUCCGGAGCCCCACCGUUGUCAUGGCGGGACACGGCGGCGACUGGACGGCCGAUCGGUAGGGGGCCGUCGGGGAAUCGACGGAUUGAUUGACGCCGGGCGGAGCAGAAUCCGAGCAGAGAUCGAGAGAGCGGGACGGGAUUCGAUCGCGAUUGAUUGAUUCGGGAGCCCGGAUUGGAUUGGAUUGCGGGGUGGCGGGGGGGUCCUUAUUUAUCUUCCCAGCGGCGUGGCGUUGGGCUGCGCGCGCCGCGCCGCGGCGGGGGCGAGGGGGCGCGCUCGCCGCCACGGGUGAGCACGUGGAACGCGCGCAGGCGGGGCGGGAGCGAGACGAGACCCCGGGGGCGCAAGGGAAACCCAGCUGCUGACGAGCCCGAGGCUGGGUUUGAUUCCGCUGCGGGGUGGGGACGUCCUUGGGUUGGUGGUUUGGUUGGUCUGGCUGGUUUGGGCUGCAACGGCCAACGAAACGGGAAAGAGUUCUGUCCUUCCAGGGCCUGUCACGCGGGACGGUGUGUCAGUGACGGAUCAGGAAGGGUAGCAGGCCGGGCGGUCGAAUCAUGUGAGAGUGUCGCCGCCAUUUUCCGCGUAUCGGAUCCUAUUUCGUUGGUAGGGGUACCGAGGAUCUUUUGUAUCGGGCGAUCCAUCGCCCCGUUUCGCUGCCGCGUAACCACAACCUUUCCGAACUAGGAGUACCGCAAAUUUGGCUCCGUUUCCCACUUUUUUUUCCUGCGCUGUCAUGGUCUGCGAUUCAGAAUUUCAGAUCCCCUAAACCGAGAUCUCAGUGGAAUGGAAUGUUUGACCAGGCCGCUCCGCCGCAUCGCCAUGGCCUGUCGUCCUGUACCAGGCUCCCAGCGCGCUCGCCUCCCCUAUCGGGGCUCGUGGGGCAUCGGUGUCUCACACUCUCUGAAAUCUGAUCAUUAGCAAUGUAGGCCUGUUCGCUUCAGCUUAUUCAGUCGGCUUAUCAGUCACUAAACAGUGUUUUCCUCUCAUAACAAAUCAGCCGUUUCAGCUUUUCAACCGGCUUAUAAGCUAAAGCGAACAGGCCUGUAUAAAGACCAAGUGAUCUUAUACGUGGGUCCAUAUCAGCUGUCCCUAUUCUAUCUCACAACAUUAAACCACCUGUGGGCUUUAAGAGUGGAACCCAUUAGCACAUCCAACCAACCGUCCCCCUCUUUCUCUCCGUGCUUGCUCUCCUGUCCCCGUUCUUUCUUUCUCCGUGCCGCCACUGCCUUGCGCAGCCGCCCAUCCCUCCCUUGUGCCGCCUCCUCCCGUCCUUCAAUCCGCCCGAAUUGGCCAUCCACCCCUCAAAUCAAUCGUCAAGCACCUCCCAUCUCGCUUCCUCCACAUGGUGAGAGGGAAGAGAAAUUCAAGGGUGCGUGAUUUGGCCAGGCGGCCUCCAUGGCUGCCACCGCUUCCUGUCUUGGGCGCCGGUGGUGUUGAGCUUAGCAGCGAGGGAAAGGGGAGAGAUGUGGAGGGGGCGGCACUGGUGGCUUGGGCCUUCUCUCUGAGCUCAUGGGCGACGGAGUUUGUGGUUGCAACCCUUCCUGAACUCACGGUGGUGGUGGAGAUGCUCGUGUGGAGUGAGGAGAAGAGAGAAAAUAUUUGUUUAUUGGGCGGGAUUUAGUGCUAUGCAGGGGCGGACCCACAGGUGUAACAUCCAUAAAAAUCACCAACUUAAAUCACCCGCUAAAAUUUAUUUUCAAAAUCUUUUAUUGAGCUCCCAAAAAUCCCGUUUUCCCAGCGAUUUCGUCGUCCCGGCACCCAAAGCCGACAACCAUCAUUUUAUCCUCUUCGCAAAUUUCGGUGCGUGCUGGUCGACAAACCAUCGCACGUGCUCCGACCGUUUUCCGCAAUCACCGCCAACUCUCCCUUUCUUUUUCUCUUUUUCCCCUAUUCCUUUUUCUCCUUUUCUUCCUUCUCCUUUUCCCUUUCUUCUUCUUCCUUCCUCUUCCUUCCUGGCCGCAUACGCUUGCUGCCUUCUCUUACCUACCUAGCGCCAACCCCCCUCCCCUGCCACGCCCUGCACCCGCCUGCCCCACCUCACAAACGCACGCCUGGCCCUCCCCUUGGCCGCCCCUACCUGCGCCUUGGCCGGCCCCACCUGCGCCCGGCCCCCCUCCCGUCACCGACCCCUGCCGCUACACCGCCACAUCCAAGCCCCCGGCCCCUACCACCGGCCGCCGCCCAAGCUCGCCGGCCCUGGCCCUCCCCCAACAUCGUCGUCGUUUCCUCCGCCUGCCGGCUAUAAAAGGGCCAACGCCUUGGCCUCCCUCGCCACCCACAAGCUCGCCGACCCUCUCCUUGCUCCCUCCCGUGCCAAGGCGCCGCCGUACCACUCCUGCACGCCGCCCCCUCUCCCGUGCACCACCACCUCCCUGUCCACCACCGGUGCCGCUCUUCCCGUCACCGAUUCACCAAGGUGAGGCCCCAAAUGGGACCCCCUCACCCUCCUCUACCUUCCCCCGCCACCCAAUCUCGCCACCGGCGAGCCAUGGCCGGCCACCCGCCGCCGGAUUUGCCCUCCCCAUCUUCCUGUACUCGCCCAAGGAAGAAGAAGGAGAGAAACUCCUCAUUUUGAUCUAACCCCCAUCUUUCUCUAUUUCACAAAAUAGCCCUCCCACCUCUUUCAAAGAUUGUCUCACAGAUAUACCCUUCCACCUCCCAGAAAUAUUCGCAAACAAGUCUCUAGUUUCUCGCAGUUUAGUCCAAAGCUUUGUUUUAACCCCUAAAUACACAGUUAUCUCGUCAUUUUAUGCGCCAAACUUCCUCCGAUUAAUCCCAAAUUUGACCACGUCAUCUUCCAAUACCCCUCCGCCGAGGCAUCUCCAAAUUUCAUGAAAAUACUCAUUCCUUCUAUUUUUCAUUCGCGUUCUCUGUUCGAAGCUCAACGGGUAAAACUUUAAUUUUCUUUUAUUUAUUGUGUGCCCGAUUGUGUGUACCAUAGAUCGCGGAGUACCCGAGGGGGAGCAUGAGGAGGAGUUUGACCGCGAGCCCGAGCCCGAGGACCAGCACCGCGAGCAAGAACUCCUGGCCAACUACGAGGAUGGCAAGUCCAAUCUCACCCUUUGAUGCAUAUUUAUUCCUAGUUUUUCAAACACAACCUAUUGGCCUACUUUACAAAAUUGCAUAUUGUUUUACUGCUGAAAACACGGUUGGAUAGCCACCCCUUGAUUGUUAUGAACAUUCCUUGAUUGUCUUAUAAUUAUCUCUAAAUAUGAUUUGCUCUAUUUGGAUGAUAAUUACGGCUAGAAUGCUUAGGACCUUGUUACUCAAUUCAAUCAUGACUACAAUGGUUUAUUUAAAGAAUAAAUGUGUGAGUGUUUUCAAAUGAGAAAAUGGAUUUUCGGAAAUAAAGGAAAUGCUUAGAUGAGAUGGAUGGGUGUUUUUUGUGUGAAAUGCCAAUAAGUUGGGCUCGUACCUUUGUGGUUGAGCAAGGUUGGGAGAUAUCCAUCUUGUCAUAGUUAAGGACCGAGUUGAUGUGCCAUCUUGCCUAACCCACUAUCGUGCAACCAACGACCGUUGUGUGGGCGGCGGCUUAGCAUAAAGCCCUCUAGCUUGUCUGUUAGCCAUCAGGAGAGCUGGUGAGCAAUGGGAGACCAUGGAGAAAGACUAAAAACUUUGUGAACUUAGAUCCCGGUUAAGACCUCGUUGGAAGGUCGUUAACCCCUUGGGUGCUUCCGUGUUGGCUAAUCAGUCUUAGCUAAGGUGAGUAAUGGCUUUGAUAGGAUCUGCACCAACACUAAGAUGAUCGUGCUACGUACCCUACUUGUGGGUAAAGUGUACAACCUCUGCAGAGUUAAAACCUAUCAGGGUAGCCGUGUCCACGGUAUUGGACGAGUUACGGCUUAGACACAUAACUAGUGUUUGGGUGAUGAAUGGUUUCCAUGGUGUGAGUUAAAUUUUGGAUGGUGUCCGGCAGUUGUGCUGUGAGCUACUGUGGACGGGGAGUCCAAUAGCAUUAAAAAGUUUGGAUCCUUUGUGUAGGAUUAACCCCUCUUACUGAUUUGGUUACUAAAGAAAAUAUUUUGUGAAAACCCUUUUGAAAAUGAACCCUUGGAUGUGUUGAAAAACCUAGCUUUAUAGCAAAUAAACCCGAGCCUUAUCCUUGAUAUACCCUAUGCAUAUUCUUGAUUGUAUCCCCCUCCGUGGAUGGGGUUGGACUUGUUGAGUACUUUUCUAUUUACCCUUGUUUUGUUGCUUUAGAGGAAGACCCGGACUUCGUCACCGAGGAUUUCGAGUAGAAGGUCACUUCAGCACCCAACGCUGCCUGUGGUGUUGGCCUUUGCAGAAUGCUUCCACUGCCGUGUAGUCCCGAGUGCUAUCUCUUGACAGUAGCUUGGCUCGCUGCUGUUGUUUAUGUACUUAUCAUUUCGGCGUGCCUUUUGCGCCUGCUCCCUCGGGAGUUGUCCGGUUUAUGAAUCACUUGUUGAAUAAAUGUGUUAUCAGCCUCCUAGGACUGAUAUUUGUAUCACAUUUAGUCUCCGUUGAUGUGGGGACGCUUCAGGUAGUAUCGGAACUGUCAUUGGCUGUAGGACGUGACUGUAGGACUGGAAAAGCCUUUCUGACCAAAAUAAGUGAUUUAUAAAAUUUCUUCUUUCCCCUACUCUAUUGCAAAACUAAUUUGCACCCCGAUUCUUUCCAGAUAGCCCAAGAAGAUGGGUCAACAGCCACUGCCUGGAAGAGCCCAGAUUCCUGAGGUUGUUGUUUGCCUGCAUGGAUCGUCUCGGCAUUUAUGAAUGUCCGGAGUACACUAGCAGGGAGUAUGUAACAUCCGCAGAAAUCACCAACUAAAAUCACCCGUUAAAAACCGUCUUUAAAAUCUUUUUACCGCUGAGCUCCCGGAAAUCGGAAAUCUCCCCGGCGAUUUCGCCGUCCCGGUACCCAUGCCGACCCCUACCUUUUUAUCUGUGCCCGGAAAUCUCCCCGGCGAUUUCGCCGUCCCGCCACCCGUGCCGAGUCCCCCACGCGCCACCAACCACCGCCGCCGGAAGCCGCCACCGAAGCCGUGCGCCGCCGCCGCAAGCCACCACCGGCCGCCCUCUUCCAUUGCCGCCACCCACGGUAAGGAAGGCAAAAUGGGGUCUCCACCCCUUCCUCCACCACCUCCUCCGCCCACGGCCGCCGCCGGUGAGCUCGGCCGGCCGGCCACCGUCGCCCCACUCAUCCCCACUCUCCCUCUCUCUUCCUGGAAGAAGAAGAGCUAAAGUUCCCCAAAAUUCCGAUCUGACCCCCUAUUUCUUCUUAUUCGCGAAACAGUCCUCCCACCACUCUCAAAAUCUAUUCACGGAUAAGCCCCUCCACCUCCAAAAGUAUUUACAAAAAGGUCCCUGGUUUAUUACAAAUCAGUCCUAAACCUCCGUUUAAGCCCCUAAUUCAUGUUUAACCUGUCAUUUCAUGCGCCAAACAUCCUCCAAUUAAUCUCAAAUUUCACCACGUCAUCCUCCAGAAUACUUUCGCCGAUCCAUAUGCAAAUUUCCCAAAAAUAAUCCUUCUACCUAUUUUCCGUCAACGUUUCCUGUUCGGAGCUCACGGUUAAAAACCGUUUCCUCUCUUAUUUAUUUGUGUGUCUGUUUGUGUGUGUCGUAGAUCGCGGAUUGCCCGAGGAGGAGCCCGAGGAGGAGUUUGACCGCGAGCCUGAGCCCGAGGACCAGUACCGCGAGCCAGAACUCCCGGAAGGCUUUGAAGACGGCAAGUCCAAUCUCACCCUUUGAUGCAUACUUAAUACCUAGUUUUUCAAACACAACCUAUUGGCCUGUUUUAAAAAAAUGCAUAUUAUUUCAUCGCAAGACAUGGUUGGAUAGCCACCCCUUGAUUGUUACGAACAUUCCUUGCUACCCUAUGCUUAUCUCUAAAUACGACUUGCUCUGUUUAGAUGAUAACCACUGCUAGAACGCUUAGGAAUUUAUUACUCAACGGCAAUCAUUAUUACCAUGAUGUUUUCGGAAAAUGAACGUGUGUGUGUGUGCAAGUGAGAAAAAUAGCUUUUCGGGUUCAAGGGAAAAGGAUGUGUAGACAGGAUGGAUGGGUAUUCCUUGUGUGGGAUGCCAGUUUGUUGUGCUCGUACCUUGGUGGUUGGGCAAUGUCGGGAGAUAUCCAUCUUGUCAUAUUUAAGGACCGAGUUGAUGUGUCAUCUUGCCUAAUUCCACCAUCGUGCAACCACUCGACCGUUGUAUGGGCAACGGCUUAGCAUAAAUCCCACUAGCUGAAUUGUUAGUCCUCAGGUGUGCUGGUGAGCAACGGGAGCCCAUGGAAAAGGAGUAAGAUCUUGGUGACUUAGGUCCCGGUUACGGUCUUGUGGACGAGCCGUGAACCCCUUGGGUGUUUCCGCGAGGGCUAGCCAGUCUUAGCUAAGGUGGGUAAUGGCUUUGUUAGGAUCCGUACCGUCACUAAGGUGAUCGCGAUACGGUACCCUACUUGUGGGAAAAGUGUACACCCUCUGCAGAGUUAAAACCUAUCCGGGUAGCCGUGUCCACGGUAUUGGAUGAGUUACGGCUUGGUCACAUAACUAGCAAUUGGGCAAGAAUGUCAUGUGUGUGUGCGUAUGUGUUGGAUUUUGGAAGAGUCCGGCAGUUGUGCCGUGCGCUAUGGUGGACCGGGAGUCCGAUAGCGAUAAAAACUUGGAUCCUUUGUGUAGGAUCAACCCCACUCAAUAUUUUGGGUAUUAAAGGGAAACUUUACACAAAAACCCUUUCGAAAACGAUCCCCUGCAUGUGUUAAAAUCUAGCUUUACCGCAAAUAAACUAUAGCCUAUCCUUGUUGUAUCUGUGCAUAAACUUGCUUGUAUCCCCCUCCAUGGAUGGGGUUGGACUUGUUGAGUACGUUUGUACUCACCCUUGCUUCAUUGCUACAGAGGAAGACCCGGACUUCGUCGCCGAGGACCUUGAGUAGAGGUUGUGUCCGCACCCGACGCUGCCUGUGGUGUUGGCCUACCCAAGAUGCUGCUGCUGCCGUGUAGUCCCGAGUGCUGUCUUUUGGCAGUCGCUUGGUUAGCCGCCGUUAUUUAUUUACUGUUUAUCGCUGCGUGGCUUUCAUGCCCACUCCCUCAGGAGUUGUACGGUAACUGAAUUAUCUGUCGAAUAAAUGUGCUAUCAGCCUCCUGGGACUGAUAUUUGUAUCACAUUUAGUCUCUACUUAUGUGGGGACGCUUCAGGUGGUAUCAGAGCCGUCGUUGGCUGUAGGACGCGACCUUAGGACCGGAUUAGCCCUUUUUGACCAAAACAAAAGAAUUACAAAAUUGCUGCAUACCUCUGCUCUAUUGUAAAACUAAUUUGUGCCCCGGAUCUUUUCCAGAUGGCCGAGGAAGGAUGGGUCAACAGCCACUGCCUGGAGGAGCCUGGUUUUCCCAGAUUGUUGUUCGCCUGCAUGCACCGCCUCGGGAUUUAUGAGCGUCCGGAGUACACCAGCAGGGAGUACGAGGACCGCGGGACCCCUCGGUGUGAGAUGAUUAUCUACAUCGGGCGGAGUAGCUGCUACCCCGACAUCCAGCCAUGGAAUGUGACUGCCACCGGCUUCCGGCACAAGGAUACUUAUCAAGUGGAAGCCUGGAAGGCCCUCCGUUUCUUGUGCCAGAUCUAUGAGAGGCACAUUGGUCGCACUCCGAUGAGGUUCUACCCGCCUGUCAAGAAAAACCGCCCGGUUUGGUUGGCCCGAGUACGGACCUUGGAACGACGUGGACAGCGCGAGGAUGACCCCACUGUGCUGCACAUGGCUGCCUACCUUCUCACCUUGGACGAGCUCUACGACGAGCAGGCUGCUAAGUUGAAGCAGCAGACCCGUAGGGCUGAGGACGCAGAAGUUAUGGUGAGGAGGCUUCAGGUGAAGUUAACCACCGCCGAAGCUCGAGCCGCAGCCGCUCAAAGCAAUGAGGCCAUUGCCAUUGAGGCUCUCAAAGAGGCUGAGGAUCGGCACUCCAAGGAACUGAAGGAUGCCCACCUCACCAUUCGUGCCAGAAGGAGGAUGGUGGCCAUCGAGGACGACGAGGCCCCGAUCCUUGAAGGGAUUCCCAUUGCCCCAGGGCCCAGUAAGCGGAAAAGCCCGGAUGCCACCCCGGCACCACCACCUUCAGAAAGGAACUCCGAGGUGUCGGAUGGAGUGGUUCCCGAGACCCCUCCCACGGGCGGGACUCUGAAGGAUGAGGUGCUGGCCCUUCUCCUUCCGAUAGAAGAUCACUCAGUCCAGGGAGAAGACUCGCCCCGCGAGUAGUAUGCCCAGCCAGGAUUGCCCAAGGAAUGAAGCCGCCAUGGUCCGCAGUUUAGAAUUGUACCCUCCAGUUGUGUUGCUGUAACCGGUCGUGUAGUACGUGUUUUGGCCUUACCCCAGCAGUGUUGUACCCCCCCUGGCAAAAUAAAUAAAAUCGUUUGUGUUUGUUGCCUGUUAGUCUGUGUGUUGUCGACAGGAGGUGGAUUCUGUCUCUUCGAAAAUACGAAUUAACCACUUUAAAGAUCACUAAAAUCCAAAUCACACUCUCAUAAAGUCUCACUCAAUCUGCAGAUGCCGCCCAAGCGUGCCACCAGGACUUCCCCAAGUCAGGCCCAUGCCACCCCCAGUGCAGAGAAGCAGCCAGAAAGGCAAGAACCGCCUCCGGCAGUGCUUCCUGAGGAGCAGGAAGUGAGCUAGCCAGAAGGAAGGGGAGAGAGUCAGGUGGGGACACAGCAGCCACUGCCCCCACCGGUUAUUGAUCUGGUUCAAGUGAUGAACAACCAGACCCUUCUGCUGGAAGCUCUAGCCAACGCCGUUACUCGCCAGAGGCCCCGCGGGCAGAACAUGAAUGAGAAGUUAACGGACUUCCUCCGGACCAAGACACCCACUUUUGGCGGGUCUGUCAACCCUCUGGACGCAGAUGACUGGCUGCGCGUCAUCCAGAGGAAGCUGGAACCAUUUGGUUGUGAGGGCAGGGACAAGGUCCUCUUGGCUGCCCACUAGCUCACUGGGACUGCCCUAGCUUGGUGGGAGAACUACUGCUCUGCCGCCCAGGAUGCCUCCACUAUCACCUGGGAUGAGUUCGUGACGGAAUUCCGUCGCUACCAUAUCCCCGCAGCAACCAUGAAGCGCAAGGCGGAUGAGUUCCGUGAGCUCCGCCAGGGCAACAGAUCUGUGGAGGAGUAUACCUUCCAGUUCAUGGAGCUGGCCCGUUAUGCUCCAGAGGAGGUAGACAAGGAUGAGAAGAAGCAGGACAUGUUCAAGAAAGGCUUGAACGCGGAGUUGAGAACCCUGCUCACUCCCCAGAUCUACCCCGACUUCAACACCUUGAUGAACAUGGCCAUCCUGACCGAGAGGGCCAAAGCAGAAGAGCGGAGGGACAACAAGCAUUGGUUCCUGGAGAGCAAGGCACACCAGCAGGACCGGUUCCAGAAGCCAAGGAGCUUCGGUCACCCCUUGCCCAGAUCCCAAGCUCCCAUGCAUUAUUGGACCAAGUCCCAAGCAUCUGGCUCAUAUCAGACUGCUGCCCCAUUCAGGAGCCAGAACCCUAUCAAGACCCAACAGAGCAGCGCCAGCCAAAUCACUGGCAAUGGUAGGGCAUGCUUCAAUUGCAGGGAGCCAGGACAUUUCAUCGCCAACUGCCCCUAUGCCAACAAGCCAGCAGCAUCAGCCUUGUCCAACUCAGUAGCUGGGCCCAGGGCCGCAUUGUCAGGAGCCAACCGUGUGCCAGUUCGCAGCAGCGGCAACCCCAGCAACAAUAACAGCCAGCAGAUGAGGCUGCCCCAGCCAUCAUUCGGACGAGCUCGCGUCAACCACAUCGGCGCGCAGGAGGCUCGCGAAGCUCAGGGCGUGGUACUCGGUGAGUUUCUAGUCAGCUCAGUCUUGGCAACAGUACUUUUUGAUUCUGGAGCAUCACAUUCCUUCAUAUCCUCAAGUUUUGUGGAAGAACACCAUAUACCUACAGUACUACUAAAGUUACCCCUAUUAACCCGGACUCCUGGAGCCGACAUUCAGUGUCGACUAGGUUGUUCUCGGGUAAGGAUCAAUUUAAGUGGGGUAGAAUUUCUAGCGGAUCUAGUAGUACUUAAGUCUAAGGGGAUAGAUGUGAUUCUUGGAAUGGACUGGUUGAGCCUGCAUGACGGUCAUAUAGGGUGUGCUGACAAGGUAAUGCAUCUAACCAAUCGGGAAGGUGUGCAAGUGACCUGCCACACCCGAGGAAGUGGUCCAGAUCCCAUGGUGUUUAGCCUGGAAACCAAGACUUUAGAAGAAGUCCCGGUAGUGAGUGAAUACCCGGACGUCUUUCCUGAGGAACUACCUGGAAUGCCCCCUGACAGAGACAUAGAGUUCGUAAUUGACCUCGUCCCCGGAACCUCCCAUAUAGCCAAGAGACCCUAUAGAAUGGCAGCCUCAGAGUUAGCCGAGCUGAAGAAACAGUUGGGAGAGUUGCAACAGAGUGGCUUUAUCAGGCCUAGCUCAUCCCCGUGGGGAGCCCCCGUACUCUUUGUCAAGAAGAAAGAUGGGAGUAUGAGGAUGUGCGUGGAUUAUCGCGCACUAAAUGAGGUCACCAUUAAGAACAAAUACCCCCUCCCCAGAAUAGAUGACCUAUUCGACCAGCUGAAAGGAGCCAAGUAUUUCUCCAAGAUAGAUCUGAGAUCAGGGUACCAUCAGCUCAAGAUCAAGGAGAGCGACAUCCCGAAGACCGCCUUUGUCACCCGUUAUGGUCAAUUUGAGUUUAUAGUGAUGUCCUUUGGAUUGACCAAUGCACCUGCUUAUUUCAUGAACCUCAUGAACAAGGUGUUUAUGGACGAGUUAGAUAAGUUUGUCGUAGUCUUCAUUGAUGAUAUACUUAUUUACUCCAGGAGUGUUCAGGAGCAUGAACAACAUUUACGGGUGGUAUUGGAAAAAUUGAGAGCCCACCGACUCUAUGCUAAAUUCAGCAAGUGCGAAUUUUGGCUUGAGAAAGUGGCAUUCCUUGGUCAUAUCUUGACCGCGGAAGGAGUAUCAGUUGAUCCUGAGAAGGUUGAAGCCGUUUCCAACUGGCAGCAACCCACUAAUGUUAGUGAAAUCAGGAGUUUCCUAGGUUUAGCUGGGUAUUAUCGGAGGUUUAUUGAGGGAUUCUCCAAGAUAGCCCGGCCCAUGAGAGAGUUGCUCAGAAAGGACAAGAAGUUCACCUGGACCGAGUCAUGUGAACGGAGUUUCCAAGAGCUGAAGAGGAGAUUGACGACAGCCCCAGUAUUAACCCUACCAGAUAUCCAGCGAGACUUCGUCAUCUACUGUGAUGCAUCCCGACAAGGAUUAGGAUGUGUCCUCAUGCAGGACAGGAAGGUUGUGGCAUAUGCUUCCCGACAACUUAAGCCCCAUGAGCAGAACUACCCAACCCAUGACCUAGAGUUUGCAGCCGUAGUGCAUGCCCUCAAGAUCUGGAGACAUUAUCUGAUUGGGAAUAAGUGUGAAAUCUACACCGACCAUAAAAGCCUAAAGUACAUUUUCACCCAGCCCGAUCUGAAUUUAAGGCAAAGGAGGUGGUUAGAACUGGUAAAGGACUACAACCUAGAAAUCCAUUACCACCCCGGCAAAGCUAAUGUUGUAGCUGAUGCCUUAAGCAGGAAGUCCUAUGGAUAGCCCGGACCCGAGAAUGCCCGUCUACAGAAGGAAAUGGCCCGCCUAAAUGUGCAUAUCAUUCCCCAGAAUGCUAGCCGCAGGCUAAGUGUCCAGCCCACCUUAGAGGAUAAAAUCCGAGAAGCCCAGGGUUCAGACCAAGACCUAGUAAAAAUCCGCAAGCAGACCGGAGAAAAUAAAGCCCCGGAUUUCAGAGUAGAUGACAAGGGAACCUUGUGGUAUAAGGACAGAAUUUGUGUCCCCAAGGACGGAGAAUUCCGGCAGACCAUCAUGGAUGAAGCCCAUAACUCAGCAUACUCCAUUCACCCCGGAUCCACAAAGAUGUAUAUGGACUUAAAGCAGAAAUACUGGUGGAAUGGGAUGAAGGCAGACAUAGCUCAGUUUGUUGCCCGUUGUGAUACUUGCCAAAGGGUCAAGGCCGAGCACCAGAAGCCAGCCGGCUUGCUACAACCCUUACCUAUCCCGGUUUGGAAGUGGGAUGAGAUCGGCAUGGAUUUUGUAGUAGGCUUGCCCAGAACUCAGAAGGAAAAUGACUCCAUAUGGGUAAUAGUGGACCGACUCACUAAAGUUGCUCACUAUCUACCCGUACGGACCACAUACGGUGGAGAAAGACUAGCUCGACUCUACGUCGACAACAUAGUGAAGCUGCAUGGUGUACCCAGCCGGAUCGUCUCGGAUAGAGGAACUCAGUUCACCUCUAGGUUUUGGAGGAGCUUGCAUAAAGUCAUGGGCACCAAACUGGAUUUUAGUUCAGCCUAUCACCCCCAGACCGAUGGCCAAACAGAGCGGGUAAAUCAAAUCAUGGAAGAUAUGUUGAGGGUGUGUGUCCUCACCUAUGGAAAGGAUUGGGAACAAAGUUUACCCUAUGCAGAGUUCUCAUACAACAAUAGUUACCAAGCCAGUCUAGGCAUGUCACCAUUUGAGGCCCUUUAUGGUAGAAAGUGUCGAACCCCUUUGAUGUGGUCGGAAGUCGGAGAGCGUUCCCUGGUCGGACCAGCUUUCAUCAAGGAAGCAGAAGACCGUGUGGCAGAAAUCCGAGAGAAGCUGAAGACUGCACAGUCCAGGCAAAAGAGCUACUCGGACAAAAGAAGACGAGAAUUGUACUUCAAUGAGGGAGAUUUUGUCUACCUCAAGGUAUCCCCGAUUCGGGGUACUCGAAGGUUUCAAGUGCAAGGGAAACUAGCCCCUCGGUAUAUUGGACCAUACCAGGUGAUAAAGAGGGUUGGAGCCGUAGCAUACCGUAUCCAACUGCUCGAAGAAAUGUCGGAUAUACACCCGGUAUUUCAUGUCUCCCAGCUGAGGAAGUGCUUGAGAGUACCGGAGGAACAAGUACCGGUGGAAACAAUAGACCUACAAAAGGACCUUCGAUACCAAGAAGUGCCUGUCAAGAUUUUGGACACUGUCACCAGAAGGACAAGGAAUACAGCGGUCCGGAUCUGCAGAGUGCAAUGGAGUAGGCAUGGCGAAGAAGAGGCCACGUGGGAACGCGAGGACGCAUUAAAGAAGGAAUUCCCCCAUCUCUUCAGGACUCAGUCGAAUCUCGAGGACGAGAUUCAAUUUAAGUGGGGUAGGUUUGUAACAUCCGCAGAAAUCACCAACUAAAAUCACCCGUUAAAAACCGUCUUUAAAAUCUUUUUACCGCUGAGCUCCCGGAAAUCGGAAAUCUCCCCGGCGAUUUCGCCGUCCCGGUACCCAUGCCGACCCCUACCUUUUUAUCUGUGCCCGUAAAUCUCGCCGCGUGCCGUCGACAGACCGCCGCGCGCGUGCUCCGACCGUGUGCCGCGAUCGCCGCCGGUCCCUCUCUUUUUCUUUCUCUUUUUCCCUCCCCCUUUUUCCUUUUCCUUUUCCUUCUUCCUCUUCCUUCUUUCUUCUUCCUCCCUUCUUCUCUCUCUUUCUCUUUCUUCUUCCCGGCGCCUGAACCGGCCCCAGCUCCUUAACUUCCCGGCGCCACCCCCUACUGGUGCCACGCCGCCCAGCCUCCGCACGCCAGGGGCCCGCUCCGCCUGGCCCGGCGCCGGCCGCGCCGCUGCCUCCCUCGGGCCGCGCGCCCGAGCCGGCCCCGGCCAACUGCGCCGCUCCGCCCGGCGCUUGGCCGCCCCUGCCUCGCGCGCACGCCCCUGCCCCGCCAUCGGCCGACCCCACCGCCGGUGCCGUGCGGCCACCGCACCCUGCCGGCCCGUCCCCUACCGCCCACUCCGGCCCCCUACGGCGCCGGCCGCCGCCCGUGCACGCCACCGCCGAUCCCAUCGCAACACCGGCCACCUCCCCCUCGCCGGCCUAUAAAAGGCCCGGCGCCCGGCCAUCUCCCCACUCCAUCCACCAGCACCACCGCCACCCGUGCCGAGUCCCAUGCGCGCCACCAACCGCCGCCGCCGGAAGCCGCCACCGAAGCCGUGCGCCGCCGGCGCAAGCCACCACCGGCCGCCCUCUCCCAUUGCCGCCACCCACGGUAAGGGAGGCAAAAUGGGGUCUCCACCCCUUCCUCCACCACCUCCUCCGCCCACGGCCGCCGCCGGUGAGCUCGGCCGGCCGGCCACCGUCGCCCCACUCAUCCCCACUCUCCCUCUCUCUUCCUGGAAGAAGAAGAGCUAAAGUUCCCCAAAACUCCGAUCUGACCCCCUAUUUCUUCUUAUUCGCGAAACAGUCCUCCCACCACUCUCAAAAUCUAUUCACGGAUAAGCCCCUCCACCUCCAAAAGUAUUUACAAAAAGGUCCCUGGUUUAUUACAAAUCAGUCCUAAACCUCCGUUUAAGCCCCUAAUUCAUGUUUAACCUGUCAUUUCAUGCGCCAAACAUCCUCCAAUUAAUCUCAAAUUUCACCACGUCAUCCUCCAGAAUACUUUCGCCGAUCCAUAUGCAAAUUUCCCAAAAAUAAUCCUUCUACCUAUUUUCCGUCAACGUUUCCUGUUCGGAGCUCACGGUUAAAAACCGUUUCCUCUCUUAUUUAUUUGUGUGUCUGUUUGUGUGUGCCGUAGAUCGCGGAUUGCCCGAGGAGGAGUUUGACCGCGAGCCUGAGCCCGAGAACCAGUACCGCGAGCCGGAACUCCCGGAAGGCUUUGAAGACGGCAAGUCCAAUCUCACCCUUUGAUGCAUACUUAAUACCUAGUUUUUCAAACACAACCUAUUGGCCUGUUUUAAAAAAAUGCAUAUUAUUUCAUCGCAAGACAUGGUUGGAUAGCCACCCCUUGAUUGUUGCGAACAUUCCUUGCUACCCUAUGCUUAUCUCUAAAUACGACUUGCUCUGUUUAGAUGAUAACCACUGCUAGAACGCUUAGGAAUUUAUUACUCAACGGCAAUCAUUAUUACCAUGAUGUUUUCGGAAAAUGAACGUGUGUGUGUGUGCAAGUGAGAAAAAUAGCUUUUCGGGUUCAAGGGAAAAGGAUGUGUAGACAGGAUGGAUGGGUAUUCCUUGUGUGGGAUGCCAGUUUGUUGUGCUCGUACCUUGGUGGUUGGGCAAUGUCGGGAGAUAUCCAUCUUGUCAUAUUUAAGGACCGAGUUGAUGUGUCAUCUUGCCUAAUUCCACCAUCGUGCAACCACUCGACCGUUGUAUGGGCAACGGCUUAGCAUAAAUCCCACUAGCUGAAUUGUUAGUCCUCAGGUGUGCUGGUGAGCAACGGGAGCCCAUGGAAAAGGAGUAAGAUCUUGGUGACUUAGGUCCUGGUUACGGUCUCGUGGACGAGCCGUGAACCCCUUGGGUGUUUCCGCGAGGGCUAGCCAGUCUUAGCUAAGGUGGGUAAUGGCUUUGUUAGGAUCCGUACCGUCACUAAGGUGAUCGCGAUACGGUACCCUACUUGUGGGAAACGUGUACACCCUCUGCAGAGUUAAAACCUAUCCGGGUAGCCGUGUCCACGGUAUUGGACGAGUUACGGCUUGGUCACAUAACUAGCAAUUGGGCAAGAAUGUCAUGUGUGUGUGCGUAUGUGUUGGAUUUUGGAAGAGUCCGGCAGUUGUGCCGUGCGCUAUGGUGGACGGGGAGUCCGAUAGCGAUAAAAACUUGGAUCCUUUGUGUAGGAUCAACCCCACUCAAUAUUUUGGGUAUUAAAGGGAAACUUUACACAAAAACCCUUUCGAAAACGAUCCCCUGCAUGUGUUAAAAUCUAGCUUUACCGCAAAUAAACUAUAGCCUAUCCUUGUUGUAUCUGUGCAUAAACUUGCUUGUAUCCCCCUCCGUGGAUGGGGUUGGACUUGUUGAGUACGUUUGUACUCACCCUUGCUUCAUUGCUACAGAGGAAGACCCGGACUUCGUCGCCGAGGACCUUGAGUAGAGGUUGUGUCCGCACCCGACGCUGCCUGUGGUGUUGGCCUACCCAAGAUGCUGCUGCUGCCGUGUAGUCCCGAGUGCUGUCUUUUGGCAGUCGCUUGGUUAGCCACCGUUAUUUAUUUACUGUUUAUCGCUGCGUGGCUUUCACGCCCACUCCCUCGGGAGUUGUACGGUAACUGAAUUAUCUGUCGAAUAAAUGUGCUAUCAGCCUCCUGGGACUGAUAUUUGUAUCACAUUUAGUCUCUACUUAUGUGGGGAUGCUUCAGAGUAUGAAGACCGCGGGACACCCUGGUGCGAGAUGAUCAUCUACGUCGGAAGGAGCAGUCACUACCCCGAGAUCCAACCCUGGAAUGUGACUGCCACCGGCUUCCAGCACAAGGAUACUUACCAAGUGGCAGCUCGGAAGGCCCUUCGCUACUUGUGCUAGAUCUAUGAGAGGCACCUCGGCCGCACAGCGAUGAGAUUCUACCCGCCAGUCAAAAAGAACCACCCGAUUUGGCUUGCCCGGGUGAAGACUUUGGAAGGACAUGGACAACGGGAGGAUGACCCCACCGUGCUCCACAUGGCUGCUUAUCUUCUCACCCUGGACGAGCUAUACAAUGAGCAGGCUGCAAAGCUGAAGCAGCAAAUUCGUAGAGCUGAGGACGCAGAAGUUAUGGUGAGGAGGCUUCAAGUGAAGCUAGCAGCUGCCGAGGCACGAGCUGCAGCCGCCCAAAGCAAUGAGUUGCCGCCAUUAAGGCCCUCAAGGAGGCCGACAGGAGGUGGAUUCUAUCUUUUCGAAAAUACCCUGGGGCCAAGCUAUAAGUGAAACAUAAUAGUCCGUCUGGCUGUGCCGGCGUCGUGGACGCCGCUUCCGUCCGCUCGCAUUGUGGAGAGCAGUGUCCCUGCCACCGUCCGCCCGUCCGUGUCGCUCUCUCUGCUCGCGAGGCCGCCGGCAGCCCUCACCGCAAUCCAGCCUCGAGGUCCCAGCCGUCGUCGUCCGCAUGCUUGGCUCGUGCGCCUCCGUCGGUCACCAUGCCUCCUGCGGUCCCAUGGUUGAGGCCGUUCCCUAUGUUCUCAUCGUGCAGACCAAGCAGCUGGGUCGCAGUGGAUGCUGUUGAUCCAUGCGGUGACAGAACUUUGACUGUCAAGACUCACGCAUGGUGUUCAACUAUAUGCCUCAACAGAUGAAUACAAAAACUUAGUUUGCAUAGAGAAAGAUCAAGAUUGAGAGAUAGCAUCACACUACUCAAAGAGACUGGUGUAUCUUUGCAACUAACUUUAGCGCAUUCUUUAAUUUGUUUUCAAUUUAUUUCUUGGCUCAUGAUCCUGUCUCGCUUGUACUAGGUUUUGGUUCCGAGGCACAUCCAUUUCACGCCAACCUUGACCUUGAAGGCAAUCGGAAUCACCACCAGCUGCUCAAAGGUGAUUGCCCUUCAACGACUGCUAGUUGGUUCUUGGUUGGACACAGCACAUAAAUAUGUUGCACUCUAUAUUUACUAUUAGUUGCCUGUUUAAACACGGAGGCACAAAGUGUAUGAUAUGGUUUACUUACUUCUCAAAUUGAUAUUGCUUUUACCAGUGGCAACAGCAAGUAUUGACAAUGUAUUUUCUGCAUUGGUUAAAGUGAAAACAAAGUCAAGGAAUAAGUUAAGUGAUAGUGUUUUGGAUGAUUGUCUAGUCACAUUCAUUGAGCGGGAUAUUUUCUUCCAAGUGAAUGAAGAUGAUAUAAUCAAGACAUUCAUAUCACUCAAAAAGCGGCGGGUAAACAAAACAAACAAGUAAUAUUGUAAGUUUCUUUUAUGCUAUAUUUUGAAUUAUUUGUAUUUCAUUUGAACUAUUUAUAUUGUGAUUAGUUAUUGUUUCUAUCUUAAUCUUUGAAUUUAAGAUUUAUCAUGUUAUUUAGUGCAUGUGAUUUACCGAAUUAGAAUAUAGUUUUACCAAAUUGUAAAUGGUUUUAUGGAAUUGCAUAAGAUUUUUUUUUUCGACAUACCCUGUGGUAAAAUCCUAGGUCCGCCACUGGCACUAUGGGUAGUCAUAAGGAUGAAGUACUGUAAGGACUACCGGUACAAUGGUAGGCCAACCUAUAUGGAGAUGUAAAGACCAUUUUGUCCCCAUCGUGGCUGCCCUUAGUGCGCCGGCUGAUAUGGAAGUCGUUGCGCAAUUAAGGGGGUGUUUGUUUCUUUAGUCACUACUAAAAUUCCUAUCACAUCGAAUGUUUAGAUACUAAUUAGGAGUAUUAAACAUAGACUAAUUACAAAACCAAUUGCACAGAUGGAGACUAAUUUGCGAGACGAAUCUAUUAAGCCUAAUUAGUCCAUGAUUUGACAACGCGAUGCGACAGUAAACAUGUGCUAAUGAUAGAUUAAUUAGGCUUCAUAGAUUCAUCUCGUGAAUUAGCCUCCAUCUAUGUAAUUAGUUUUAUAAUUAGCUCAUAUUUAGUUCUCCUAAUUAGCCUUCGAAUAUUUGAUGUGAUAUGAAUUUUACUUCGGAUUAGACAUCCAAACACCUACGGAAGAGGAAUUAAACCGCGGCUCAGGAAGCCAUAACGGCCAGACGAUGGGACCUGGGUGUGACCGGCCCAGCAACGACGAAGAGCCGGAGGAGCGCCGUGGCUCGCAAGCGUAUGAUCCGGCCGUUCGGCCUGUGAGAGUUGGGGGAGUUCGGGAACGAGAAGGACGUUGUCGCUGGAUGCGUCCCCGUUGCACGCCGGCCCCUGCCACCGUUGAAUAUACCGGCAGCAAUUCACAUUUUAAUAAUUUAAGCAAGAACGCACUAAAUCAAAGACCAUGUUAAACAUGAAGAGAACAAAAAAGCUACUCACAAUAGGCAUACAACACAAUUCUAUUAUAAAGACACCGGUCAUAUCAAUCUUAUAUGAUUGUAGUAUCGAGUAUAACAUAAAAAAAAUCCCUAACAAAAGAGAUAAGAGAUCAUAUGGUGGAGUGGAACCAUCCUCAAUGGUAGCGGCAAUUCGAAGCCUUGUGACACAAAGUUUGCUAAUGUAACCUUACUGAUCAGUUGGCAAAAGCUACGACGAUCAGCAAUAGUAACAUCAAUAUACAAGUAGUCAUGUAGCAUGGCAUAACUAAAGUAAUCAUUGUGGAGACACCACUAGCAAGGGCUCACGCUAACCUCUCCCAAAAAUUUGAUUCGCCUCCGCUCGGUGUCUUAGAAAGGUGGGGUUUCGUAGACCGGCCCACUUAGUUGCAUAUGCACGAAGAUGUUGAGAUAAGGAUACUGGAGAGCCUCGACGGUAGAGGAGGAUGUAGGAUGCUUAUGUAUAUUGUACUCGGGUUUAGGAUGUAGAGAGGUCACCUAUUUAGAGCUUCUACCCAUACCUUGAAGAGCAGGUAAAACUCCUCGCAUAAAACGCAAGAACUGACCGGCUCCACAUGAUUUUUGUGCCUUUCAUUUCUUGGUGCAACAUUUUCAUUCAAUCCGUUUCAAAAAUAUCUUCUAGAAGCUUUUAUGUGAUUACGGUCUUAGAUGUCAAAUAUGACGAGAGAUCUUGUGAUCCUGAUUGAUUUGACACAAUCUCUUUGUGAUUUUUACCUUAUUAUUUUCUUAGUGUAAUUGAAUAUGGGUUAUGCCGGAUUUUUUAAAAAAAUUCUAGCCAAAAACUGAUAUCUUAAAAUAACUCAUCCUAAAUAUUAUUGAGUGACUGAGCUGCGACGCUGGCGCGCACACUGAGGUUGGCACGCUAGCGUGUCACACGCAAUGCCGCGGUUAGCGUGACCGUGCGCAGCCUGACGUAGUGACGUGCGAUGUGCGGAGGUCGCAGUCCCUGUCGGACUGCACCGGGGGGAGAGAGAGAGUUGCUGUGCUGUGCAGCUGUUCAAGGGGAGAGAGUGCGUGCAGAUUUUUCAAGGAGAGAGGUUGGAGCUCUACCUGCAGUCCUGCGCUACUCUACCACUGCUGAUGCCAUUUUCUUUGACCGGUGAGGCGGCUAUUGACUAUGCUCCGGGUUUAUAUUUUUAAGGAGAGAGAGUGUGUGGAGCUUUUUCAAGGAGAGAGAGUCUUCUUUAUUUGUCAUUAGUCGUCGGAUCAUAUACGAAAAAUCACACGUUCAUUCCAUACUUUUUUAAUUACAUUUUUCUUGUAAUUUUAAAGUUGCAUUUUAUCCAUGCAUGGAGCACCGAAGUCGCUCUCGUGUGGCGAGAUUGGGUUUAAUUAGCACUUGUACCAUAUCACUCUAUCUCCAUCGUCCAAGUAGUCAUUUCUGCAAAGAGUAUUACAGACGAAGUCAUGUAUGUCUAGAAAAUGUAUCUUGUGUUCUUUAGCAUCACUAAUCAUUGAUUUCUUUCACUAUGUGAUUAAGGGAUUUGGUAGGUCAGGGCGAACAGAGUAGCCUCUAAUAGAUGUUAUAGCCGAAACGAUACACAAAUGCUGAAUUAGGGUCUCCACAACAAAGUAACUUGAGAAAAUAUCUAACUUUUUUUCUUUCUAGAAAAUGGGAAUAUGUCCGGCUUCUGCGAAAAACGUACACAGCCAAAUGAACAAAUAUCUUAACUAUUAGCUCGACUUAGUCUUGUAAUUAGCAGCACAUCGGCACUUCUUGCCGAAUUUCAUGAACAAUUCUAGGCAGAAACUGAUCAAGAUGGGAAGAUAAACGCUGCAAUGGACAAAUGACCUUAAUUUGUUCAGUGCCAUUGCUGUUUCGGUAUUCGGAUGCAACCGGACUUUACCACCUCACUCAGUAAGCUGUCCCGUGUUCCUUGCUGAAUGCUGAUACAUUUGAGUAAUGCCCUGCAGCUACUUGUAAGCAUAGAGAGAACGAACACAUUCAUGUGUGACAUUGAACACUAAGAAUCUCAAGCACCAGUUUCCGAACAUGAUCUCUUUGAUUUAUGAGUUAACUAGACAGGUUGAAAACUAACACCACCGUGUCUGCCUAUUGUAAAAGAUAGUAAGAUACUACAUACAGAGCAGCAUACAUGGAUCUGAGGCUACAAUAUACAUCUACAUCUGUUCCCACAAGACGAGGAACAGCUACCUCGUCGGUGAAAAUCCCGUUACAACGACACAAGUUUCGCAAUGCAGGACGCCGACUUGUGCUGUUCGGGGAGCGUCCUCCACCACGCCACAAAAGAAGAGCUCCCCAGAAACACGUCCUUGCCCAGACUUCCAGAGUUAUACCAUCCAUGCGCAUCGCUCUCGAGCUUGACCACCCUAUCCCUCAGGUCCUGGAACGUCCUGCCGCCGGCCAUCUCGGCCUGGAGCUCCUCGACCACCGCCCAGAAGCAUGACUCGAGGCUGGACCCGACGGGCGCGCGCUGCAGCUGCUCGUGCCACCUCUGCGUGUACUUGUACCGCCGCGGCCGCCCCUUGGAGAGGUAGGAGCCGGUGUCCUCGUUCUUGGAGUGCCUGUAGUAGUUGGCGAUGUCCAGCGGCUCCACCAGGCGGCGGAACAGCGUGCCCAGGCCCACCCACUCCUCCCGCGCCUCGAAGCCGUCCGGCAGCUCGCGCCUCCGCAGCAUCUCGAUGAUCUCGUCCCAGAGCCCGGCCAGCUCCAACCUCCGCACGUUGGCGUUGAAGUCGUGCACCUCCCGCUGGAGCUUGAAGGAGUCGUAGUAGGUCACGCCGCGGAGUUCGCAUGCUCUCUUGUAGUCGUUUAGGGAUCUGAGGGCCUCCUGGAUCUUCUGGCAGCUUUCGUCAAUCUUCGUUUGGUUUCUCUGUCUUUGUUUCUCCCAUUGCGCAGCUGCAGAAAGGUGCAGUAUAGCUUCCUUGCUCUGUGAUUAAAAAAAAGAUAUAGGUUCUUUUACAUUAGAAGAAUACAUGUUGGGAGUCUUGAAAUGGUGACUGAAGAUUGCUUAUUUGAACACGAUGACAAUUACGAAAACAAACUUCAUAGACAUUUACAUUUUAAGCUAUGAAUCUAGGAUAGGUCGAUAGGAAAUGCUUUCGUGUUGGGCUGCAAUAUAGCACACGAUGACCCAACUUUAGUGGUUUGCAAUUUUCUUACCAAGACUGAUUUCACAGAGAGUGAACACAUGUUCACUACUGUGAAGGAAAUGCCAACUAUAAUGAAGAUGUGCAUUGACAAAAAGGAAAUGGUGGCUUACCAGUUCAAUGCUUCCAAAUGCCGCUCUGUCUGUCUGCCUACCAGGAACGGUUGACGAGAUUGCUCCCAGGUAAUCCACACAAACUAUAUCCGGCAUGCACUGUUUAAUUGGUUCAUACUGCCAAUGAGCACUUAAACUUCUAGCAGCAGCAUCAAGCAAUUGUUGUUGGGGAUCCAACUGAAGACAGUAAAAUAACAACUGCAGUACAGCAUCUGAAUUUGUGAUAACAAUCAGUUGUUCACUACUUGUCAAGAAAUGAUAAGUCCCGCAGGGUCUGUAAGGGGAGAGGUCAAUGAAGGAAGUCAACGUUCCCAAGAUUGAGCUAGUGCAGCCCAUGAAAGAACAGGCCUCAUAGCUGGCAAUCGAUAGCGUGCUUCUCAGUAAAGUUUCGUAGUACUCAGGUAUGACGAGAGACCUCCCAGCAGGUGAGUUGUUUGGUGUCUGAGGAGACAACCAAUCAAGAACAGCUUGAAUUUCUUCUCUGAAGGAUGCAAGCGGAGUCAGUGGUAUACGUGGGACAAUGUCUAGCGGAAGAAGGAAAUGCAAAAUACAUUGCGACCAGCCCUCUCUUCUAACAGCAUGGUUGAAGAUAUUGUCUCCAAUAAGAGGAGCCCCAAAGGUCACACAGAAGGGGUGUGCUUGAUUUACACUUCCCUGUCUGGUGCACUUCUCAAGAAACCAUAUAGCAGCAAGGGUGGCUAUCGAACCUCCUGAUGAAUGCCCUGUGAAUACUAUACGUUUCUCUUCAGCCACAGCUCUCGAUACCUGUAUUUCAAGGGAGGAGUUAUCAUUUUGUUCGUUUAGGUGACAAACAUAGUGAAAUGCUCAAUCUACAUCUCAGUUAACAUUUGAAUACAGCCAAUUUUAAACAGUACAAUUCUGUAUAUUAUGAUAUAAAAGUAAUAUAACUGGAAUGAAGACUUUGAAGGCUAUGGUAAUCGCCCAAACGAAAGAGGAAGGGGACAUGAAUUGUUACUCAAUUUGUUGUCCAAGUAAUGUAAUAUUGUCAAUCAUGAAAUUUUUCAUAAUUCCAAGCAUCUGGAAUGCUGUGGCUGAAAAGUAUGUUUUCCAGCUAUGUCAUUAUUUCUCACACAGUCCAAGACUUAGUCACAAACAUGAUGCACGGUCCUUCUAUGGAAUAAAUAUGUUUGACUCAGACUUGCCUUUGCUGUUUUAUUUGCAACUGCCUUACUUUAUUUAUGGCCCCUCCUCUUUCAUCGAAACUGUGGUAUGUAGUGUGAUGUAAACUAUUUUCUUUUCUUUUCCCAACAAAAAAGGGUGAAUUGAAAACUUUGCAAAAAGAAACAUCAAGUCAGCAAGCAGCCCAAAAAACAAUCAAGUUGACAUCAAGUUGAAAUCAAGCACUCCCUCCACAUUUGCAAGCUCUAUCCUGAUGUACAUUCACACUGCUUUAGUUAGACAAGCACGCUAAAAUCCACAAAGGUCAAUGCAACUGCAGCCCACAUAUCUUUAACUGGCAGAGCAGCUGAAACUAACAUACACAUGAACACAGCAACGGAAACAAUUGAAUCUUGCAGCUAACACACCUUAAAUUCAACCUAAUGCAUUUCACCAUACUAUAAAAGCAAGUAGCUUUUCAAAAUUGAUCCAUCUAAUCUCAUUUCUCCCUCAUAAAGUAUCCUGAAACGAUCAAUUCUUAGUCUCAGGGAUCGGACUGCAAGUGCCAUUUCCUGUAGCAGCAACUAACGAGAUCUUAGCACUAAAGAGUCAAUAUGGUUUAUCAAGCUAUACCGGAUACCAGCUCGAGAAGCCGGCGCUUGAUUCACUGACCUCGGACUGGAGCGUCGAUCCGUCGAGCAGGCCGCGGAAGGCGGCGAGGAAGGCUGCGUUAGCGCGCGCGGGGACGCCGCUCCCGACGGCGCGGAGCGACGGGAACAGCGCCGGGUCCACCUCCGCGUCCCCGAACGGCUGGCGGGCGCCUCCCGCGGAGGAGGGUGCCGCCCAGUCGCCGGCGGACCAGGAGGGCGCGAAGGCGAAGGCGGCGCAGGGGUAAGGGUGGGACGCGUGGUGCACCUGGAAGGAGCGGGCGGAGGAGGAGGCGGCGGGCGGGGCCGAGGCGGGGGAGGGGGAAGGGAAGGAGAGCUCGGCGCAGUGCGCGACGAGCAGGCGGUCGUCGUCGGACAGCGACGCCGCGCGCUGCGGCGGCGCCGGGGUGUCCGUCGGCAUCGCGACGGGACGGGAGAGUGGAGCACUGGAGCGCUUGGGGAGGCGGGAGGCGUGGAGCUGCUCUGAGGCUCUGAGCACCUGAGAUCGCUGGGUUGACUUGUCGCCGACGAGCAGCUGAGAGGGACGAGAAAAAGGAGAUAAAAAGGUUGGGACUUGGCCACUUGGGGAGGCUUGCGCCUUCUGAAGCCGUGGCUCGUACGACAACAGCGACGUUACAAAAUUUGUUCGAGCCGCUGCUCAUAACACCGUCUCCGUGUUUGCCCAGCCCAUUGAAAGUAGACUUGCUAUACCGGAUUUUUGCUGCCGAGCUUACUCGAUUCGAAGCCGAGAACCAAGAGCCGCUUCAGCUUAUAAGUCGACUGAAAAGUUGAAACGGCUGAUUUGUUGUGAGAGAAGAACACUGUUCAGCCCAAACCCUUCUGAGCUUCAGCAAUGCCUAUUUGGAUCUUUGGUGCUUUUGUUGGCAGCCAGAAUCCCUUCAUCCCUUGUGUGGUAAUGCGCACGCUUCUGCUUUCAGCCGUGCAGCAAGGACUUCGCCGUACAAGCUAAAGGCGGAUUGAUACCUACACAUGCACAAGCUUUUUGUGUCUUUAUAGAUUGCACUUCAAAAAAAGUCAAAAAUUUUAAUACACGCAGAAGACAAUUUGGUUCAUCACAGCAAACGCAGAGCAGUACCACAUAAAAGUGUGCAUGUAACAUACAGGAGAACCAGAACCAACCCCAUCCCUGCUAUAUCAGAGAUUUUCUUCUUUGCUUGUAUUUGUACGCAGUAUACACUAUACAGACAUAUUAUGCUUUAGUUUCAUCAUCCAAAAGAAAAGAAUGGAAAAGAAAACAUAAAGAUCAGGUCAGAACAAACUAUAAAACCUAUCAUAUGAAUCCGCGACGUUCACAAUGAACAGAGGAAGAAUUGCAGUAUCCUAUCCUUCAUCUUGAUCCAAAGCAUCCAAUGCCUGAUAUAAUACCUUGAUGGAAACAAAAUUCGUGCCAGAAAUAUUCAGUUUCACGGAUCCUUCGACUGUUACAGAAGAAUUCUCAGUGAGAUACAAAAGGCAACAUGAAAAAUGAAACGGAUGUGGUAAAAAGGGGCAGGCCACUUCACAAAUAUAUACUACUAACAGUUACCUCAAGAUACUGGGACAGGCUAGGUGAAGAAUGGGCAAGCCCUGUGCCUGAAUAUGAAAGUGCAUACUCUUCUAUAUUCUCUAACCUGAAAAGUAACCAUACACUCAUAGUUAGAACAUAAUGUCCAUGAAACUCAUCCAGAUCGUAUUAGUAUCAGCAGUAGCCCAAUAGAGGCAUACCUGUAAAGAUAAUUGACCAUGAUACCUCCACUUUGUUGAAUGCCCUUCUCUGAUUGGUCAGCCAUCCAGUUUAUUCUCUCAAUCAUCUGCCAAAUAGCUAGUGCUGUUAUGUCAAGCCACCAAAUUAUUUCAAAUACCUAAUCAUCUUACCAUUAGGCCCAAAUUUAUGAAUAAAAAAUUGCAUAAAAUGACUUACAACAGUAAAACUACCAGAGUACAAUAUUACAACAUGGUUCAUGGAAAAUCAAUUGAUUUUUUUCCUGGAAUAGGUAAACCAGACAUAAGUUUCUGUUUUCUAAACACCACAAAACAACAUAUGCUCCUCAGCGUUUAAAAUUUGAAACUGAGUAUGUGAUGCUGGCUAACUUACUGCUCCGUUUUGCAAGUGAAAAUUUGCAACAGCAUCUAGAGCUUUUCCUCUGAUUUUCUCUCUGGCAAGAUACCUACAUUAUCAACAGUUGCAAUUUAUAUAUGGCAUUCCACUUACUCAGAAAAUGAACUAAUGCACAAACAGAGAAAAAUGUUUUUGCAUACCUUGCACACAAACGCAUUAGAGGAGAUUUCAACGCAGCAGAUAAUUUUUCAGACUUUACCCAUUGACUUGUUUUCAGUAUAUCUUGCAAUAGUUCAAUUCCUUGUUUCCCAUGAGCUUGUUCACUGCAACGAUAGUAGUAACUUUGAUCAAAGAUCAUGAAGCAACUUUAAGAUUUUACCCUCUUUCUAUGUUAUUUUUUCCUUUAACACGUAGGAGACUUGCAUAUGUUUGUAUUACCCAUUUCUAUGUUGAAUAGCCACGAACAUAAAAAAUGAGUUGAUGGAUUACAGAAAAUACUGCAUGUACCCAGAAAUUGAAAACAACAGACUCAUCCAUUUUUAAAUACAUGACGUUUAGGACAGGUUGAUUAGUUCAUUUUUCAACUAAUUAGCUUGCACUUUUUUAUAUAUGACACUUAGGACAAACUAACUAGUACAUUUUUAACUAAUUAGUUUGUCCUAAAUGUCAUAUAUUCAAAAUGGAGAAUAAAACAAGAACUGCACCAAAAACAGGGAAGCUCAAUUUGCAACAUUAUCUUGGAAUGGAACAUACAUGGCAUCAUGAAUCAUCUUCUCUUCCUCGGGAAGAAGGAUGGAUUCUCUGAAAGUAGAGCUAGCUCCUUCGAAUGAAUUCCCCUCUUGCGAUUCUGUCUGUGCUAAUUUUAUUUGGGAGGCCAGUUUAGCACGAAGCCAUUGCAUGAAACCAGGGAUUGGGCUAAGUGUUGCAAAAAUCUGCAUGAAGCAUCAACAAAGAAGUAUAUGAUGUUUGAUGUAUCAGUAAACAUAGCUAACAGCUUAACAUGAGCUUAGUAAGUCUGGUGAAUUAUUUGCUAUGUGAAGAAAAACUGAGCUUAGUAACAUGAGCUUAGUAAGUCUGGUGAAUUAUUUACAGGAACUGUAUGUACUGCACUUUUAAGCGAAACAAUCAACGGACACUCAUAGAAGCCAAAGCUAUUUCAUUUGCAGCGAUAGAUAUAUACGGAAAAUAAGAACUAAGAUGUGCGUGUAAUAGUGAUGAUCAGCAAUACAUAUUAGAAGGGGUACCUGUACUGAAGGCAUAUCUCGUCUCAACAUGUCAAUCACACGCUUGAGAAGAAACUUCCCCAGAUUAAUACCUGAUAAGCCAGGCUGGCAAUAUUAAUAGACGGUCAGUUCUAGACUUCUAGGCACCAGUUCGCUAGUGCCUAUCACGGAACUAAAUUUGUUAGCAACUUUGUUUACCUGGGUAGACGAUAUUGAAUAAAACAGUGCACAGCUGGCUUCAGAUUCAGGAGUCGGGGGGUCAUCCCACAAGACCUCCUAGUAUGAGAAAAGAAGAACAUAAGGUGCUGUGCAGUAGAAUACUAAUUUAGUCAAAUAUAACUACGACGGUCUAAUAACCUGUAUAGAUGCAGCCAUAUCUUUGUGUAAAGCAACUUCGAUGAAAAUCAGGGGCUCCCCUAAUGUUAACAAAGGCAGUAAGAGCACUCAGAGAAAGUAACUGCGGUUGGGGGAAAAUCAUCCGAAAAAAGCUAGUCGUUACACUUAAAUUCUUAACAACUACUCCGUAGAUAAUUGAUGACAUGCACUUCUUUCAUCCUUAUGGAAAAUUAAUGGUAUGUGUAAGAAAAAUGGCUAUGAAAUUAUAAAACUAUAUAUGAGUUACUUGGAACUUGGAAGACUAGAUUCAGCUGCAGCAUCAACAGUAGGCAGUAAUACUCUAGAAGUGCAGCAAGCCACAAAUAGCAACCAAACAGUCAGUCUGACAUUCUGACCUGGUAUUGCUGGAUGGAAGUAGCCAAAGCAACGGCGACCAACACCCAAUCUUCUCUUCAAGUCUAUCAGGUUUCUGAUUGGAUGCACUGCCUAAAUAGUGAAAACAAAAACAUCAGUUGAAACACCACAGUAACAAAUCAGGCUGCGCCAAAUCAAAUCUACAGGGAAUAGGCCACCAACCUCAUAUGCCACAAUCUUCUCUAGCAAGGAGGCAGGAUCAUCCCAUGUUAUCUGGUGGAGCGUCAAUGCUGCAGGGCUGAGCCAGGUCACCAGUUUCUCCUUCAAGUACGAGUCCAGGGCGCGCAGUGCCGGAGCGUUCUCCUCCCUGCGUUGCAACAUUGGGAUCAGCAAGGCCUUCAAUCCCCAAGUUUCUCAUAACAACAACAGCAAAGCAUCGCAAUGGCAGUGCUGAGGGCAAACAAUCUCACCCCAGCAAGGCCAGGAGGUCGGCGCGGAGCACCGCGAGGAGCUUGAGCCCGCCUGGUUGCGCGUUCAUGGCCUCGAGGAACCCGGAGUACCGGGGCCGGAGCGCGUCCCGGAGCCCCCUCUCCAUCCGGUACAGCGCCGCCGCGGAGCCCUCCUUCCCCUCCUCCACCGUCGCGUCAUCCCCGCCUGCCGCCGCGGCGGAGGCGACGCUCAUGUACUGUCUCAUGAGGUCCCGGACGCGCGCGCGGGGCACGUCGUAGUCGGUGGCGAGGGAGCGGAGGACCUCGCGGCGCCCGACGCGGUCGAGGGAGCGGUACCCGUCGGAGAAGUUAUCGAGCGUCGCGGGGGGCGGGGAGGCGGCGGAGGCAGCGGCAUGGAGCCAGUGGAGAACGGAAGCCGCGGGCGGGGCGGCGGGGUCUGGGUCAGUGGGCGGAGGAGGAGGGGACAGUUGCGGCGGCGGGGAGGGGAGGGCGUCCGGGUGCAUGCGGGCGCGGAGGAGGACGGCGAGCGACUUCGAGGUGUGGUUCCUGGUCAUGUGACGCGGUCGGAGUAGCCGCCGGCGACGCGGCCGGAGGCGGAGGCAGGGCGGGUGACGGCGCCGGCGACGGCGCUGUGCCAAUUUUGCGGUUGGGUUCGGCCGUUCGGGUGGUGAGGUGUCAGCGUGUCCCACUACUCGCCUUUCUGUAGACGAAAGGGCGCAGCCGGUCCCCAGACUUGCCCGGUUACCAAACUAGCAGAUCGCUUUUUUUUAGAUCUAAACUUUGUUUGGAUCUCGUUUGCGUCCAAUCUGACUUCACCGUUAUUAGCUAACAUGGCGAUGCCACCGUGUCUCACACACGUGGCAGGGAUACUGCUGGGCUGCCUAAAUUUGCAAAGAAGCCUUCACAUGUGUCAGACCUCUCAUUUAUCUCCUCGGUUACCUCUCUGCCGUGGUCGACGAGGGUCUGUGCGGCGGCGAUCGAGGAUGAACAGAUGGAGGUAGUGCGGCGGUGAUUGGGGAGGAAAAGAGGAAGCCCAUGUAGAAGGAAGCACCGAAUGUGGUGCAGGCCACCGCCGCGACGGGAUGGUGACGAGACUGCGAGGCAAAGGGGAAUCGGUUCCGAACUACGGUGAGUACCCUGAUUUCUCUGCCACAUCGAUUGUAGGGAUAGGUGUAGGGAUUGGAUUUUAGAGUGUGAUUCUAGAGUAUUAAGUUGAAAAACUUGGAUUUGGCAGAUGGGAUUGUUGAUUUGGGGAUAAUUUGUUAGGGUUUUGGUUUUGAUAUAGGUUUUAGAAUUUUGGGGAAAAACUUAAAAUUUCGAGAUGUUGCAUCUGAUCAAUUUGAUUUGCUUGAUCAAUUUGAUUUGCUCGUGCAUUAUAGGUCCUAGUUCAUAUGAGUUCAGUAUUGAGGUUCACCAUGGGGGUUUCUUCAUUGGAUUUGGUCAUAUGUGGGUGAGAAGAUCCACUUGUUUGAUAGGAUUGAGACUGAUACUUUGAGUCCUUUGUGGUUCGAGGAUUUUGUUCAACAGCUUGGUUAUGUGAGUAACAGCAACAUCAAGUAUUAUUGGUUGUUACCAGGGAAGACCUUAGCUGAUGGAUUGAGAGUGAUAGCUUCUGACCAUGACACCAAUGUGAUGGCAUCAGUGGUACAAAAGGUCAAGUGUUUAUUGAUCAUGAUGACAAUAUGGGACUUGAUUGGGAAGAUGUGGUUGUCAAUUAAGUUGCUGAUCUGCCUAAGGUUAUUAGCUCACAGAAAGUUGAGUAUAUUGAUAGGAAAACUAGUGAGAAAUUACCAGUAUUCUAUAAUGACUUGAAGAAAGAUAGAGUUGAGCAAGAUGGUCUUAUUCAGGAAGAGUACAAGGAAUAUGCGCAUGAUGAGGAGUUCAUAGACAGUGACAAUGACAUAGAUGCUAGUGAUGAGGACUUGUUGGAGGAUGCUGUUGAAAUGGAUGUGAUAAGAAAGCAAGAGGAAGCAAGCUGAAGUCAUAUGAGAUAAAUAGACAUGCACAAGUCAGUGAUGAUGAGGAUAGUAAUGAUGAGGGUUUGGAGCUGCUAGAUUUAGAUGGGGAAGAUAGGCUGAAGUUCAAAUCUUUGAAUGAAGAGGACAUCAACAAUCCAACAUUCUUUAUUUGACAAGUGUUUCAAUCUGCAAAAAAGUUGAGAGAGGUAAUUAUAGAAUACAGUGUGAGGAACAGGGUUGAAAUCCUACUGCCCAGGAAUGACAGCAGAAGGAUAAGGGGUCAUCGUGCUGAAGGUUUUCCAUGAACUUUAUAUGCUUCAAUGGAUAGUAGGAUUCAGUCAUUUGUUAUGAAGAUAUACUAUGGAGUUCACAAUUGUUAGAAAGAGUGCAUACUUAGGAGGUGCACUUCUAGGUGGUUGUUUAAUAAGUACACUGAUUUGUUUAGAGCCAAUGAGAAGAUGAGCAUCACCAAGUUUGUCAAGACAGUCCAAAAGAUUUGAACUUGACCAUUUCCAAGAGCAAGCUUGCUAGAGCAAUAAGGCUGAUUUUAAGUUCUAUUCAUGGAGAUGAGAUCCAACGGUACAAUUACUUGUGGGACUAUGCAGAAGAGUUGAGGAGAAGCAAUCCUAGGAGCACAUUCUACUUAAAUUGUACUAAAAACUUGUUUAGUACAUGUUACAUGUCACUGAAUGCAUGCAAGAGGGGUUUUUUGACUGGAUGUAGGCCCAUCAUCUGUCUAGAUGGAUAUCAUAUUAAGACCAAGUUUGGAGGUCACCGUAGAUGAAGAGGACACCAUUUGGAGCCGGCAUCUUGAGGAUGAGGUAGGUGCAAUGUGGAAUCGCCACGAACCUCGCAAGCAUGGGUCUGCUAAAGAUGACAUGGUAGGAAGUUUUGAAAUUAGCCACCUCGAAGGUAAGGUGCUCCGUACGGUAGUUGUCAGGCGUGCCAAAGCUGACUGGCAAAACAACUCAGCCGAUAGGAUAGGAUCCCUUGCCGGGUACGAUGUCAUAGAAGGGGUCUUCACAGGGCUGGAUGUGGUCGAAAUUGAAGUCCAUGCACUUCAGAGUUUCGGCGAAGAUGAUGUUAAGCCCGCCGCCGCUGUCAAUUAGCACUUUGGGGAGGAGGGCCCGGUCUAUGGUCGGGCAGACCACCAACGGUUAGGACCCGAGAUCUGGAAUGUGUAUCCAGUGAUCUUCCUCGCAGAUACUGGACUGGACGUAUGGAGAAUGAGUGCACCUCUCAUUGGUGCAGCUUGUGUUUACGAUUGCUGCAGAACACCUUGGGGCCGCCCAUGAUGAUGUUGACUUGAUGGUUCGGUCACUGGAACUCCCCGUUCUGGUCGGCGCCGACCCGGUGGGCGUCUGGGUUUGGCUAGUCACGGUGCUCCUCUUUGUGAUAAUCAUUGCGGUCAUCACGUUGGCGGUUGUUGCGGUGAUCGUGGCGGCGGUCACGAUCGUCGCGAUCAUCACGACGAUGGUCAUGGUCGUCACGGCAACGGUUGCCGCGGUCAUCACGGUCAUUGCGGCGGCGGUUGUCGCGACAAUUGUCGUCCCUUCGGUAGUCGUUUUGGCAAGGUCACUUGUACUCCAUCAGGGUGCCGAGCUCUUUCUUGAGGAUUGUGCAGUCCCGAAGAUUGUGACGUGCGUUCUUAUGGAAAGGGCACGGAGCAUUCAGGGUGUCAUCGAACUCUUCUCGAAGGAAGGUGGUUGGUCUGGCGGGGUCGGCUUCAGCAGUGAGGACCUCGGGGGGUCUUUUUUUAAGUCGGGAGGACUUCGGUCGUGCUUGGUGUUCCUCAUAGGUCAGCUGUUUGUGGUUGUCGUUCUGGCAGUGCUCGCCGUCCUAGAACUGUACUUGUGUUGCCUCCUCUGUGUCGGACUGAACGUUGGUGAGCUGCAUCAUCUACCCGACCAUCUUGGGGGUAGCCUCAUACAGCUUGCAGAACAUGUUGCGGUUCAUCAGGCUAGAGUGGAAGUACUAGAUGAUGUCGCGGUCCUCGACUCCGGCCAGCCUGUUGCGGUUCUCGAAGAAGUGGUUCACAUACUCUCAGAGAGUUUCGUUCUUCCACUGGCAGACUUGCCCAAGAUUCUCCGUGUUUCCAGGUUGGUUGUAGGUAGCCUGGUAGUUCUGGGUGAAAGCCCUAGCGAGCUGACCCCAGGUAUUGAUGCUGCUCGGUGGAAAGUUCUCUAGCCACAGGAGAGGGGCGGGGCCAUCACUACCGGGAAAUAGGUGGCCAUCUGGUCGUAUGUGCCGUUGGCGGCUUUCUCCGCGGUGCUGUACAUUUUGAGCCAUAUAGUGGGGUCGGAGCGGCCGUCGUACUUUUCGUUGAUAGCCAACUUGAACAAGGCAGGCCACUCAACGGCUUUGAGGCGGGGAGUGCAGGCGGCAAAACCAUCGUUUGUUGUGUCAUCAUCGUCCUCGAGGUUAUAUUCGACGGGUGGUGCCUCGGGGCGUCCAUCGUUGUUGCGCCUGGGUGGGACAUAGGCGUCUUCAGGGGCGUCGUACAUGCAGUCGUAGUCGACACGGCGAUGCAUUUCAUCUUCUUGGCAUCGACGAUCCUCCCGUUCUGCGUUGCAGUUUAGCCUGCCAGGAGCACCGUUGUCACGGUCGUACUCAGUGUGGCGGUGGAGCUCGACCUCUUUCCAGUCUUGGUGGCGGUUGUUGAGGUCGGCGCGGAGGUCACGGCGAUCGUGUAGCUGUUCGGGGAGGUCGGGUUGCCGAUCUUGUCUGUCACGGUUCUUGCCAUCGCCUCUCCUGCGACAGCAGCUGUUGUCGUGGUUAUCGAGUUGAUGGGCGUUGUUAGCGGGCGGGUUGGCGGGUUGCUCCACCUUCUCGUCAUGGACGGGCUCUAGCUGACCUCCCACGUGGUUAUUGUGGCCGCCUCGGUGGUGACCGGAUCCGCUAUGAGUAGAUCGAUCAGCUUCGAGAGUGCUGAGUAGAUGUGGACUAGGAGUGUGUUGACUGGCUUUGGGCCUGCUCUUCGAUCUGGGCGUUGGCGACGCGGAUACGUGCAUGGAUCCGCCAGAGUAGCUUCAAGUCUGGAAGGUUUUUCAGAUCGGCGAAGGUAGCCCCCAGGUUAGCCUGGAGUAUGGUGAAGACAUUGUGGGCAGCCUCCUCGAGGUCGGCUUGUAGAUUGCAGGCAUGCAUAGGGCGCCUGCGCUGCCUCAGGCAUCGUCCUGGUCAGCGUUGUCACCAUCGUUGGCGCGUUGUGGGUCGACGUUGGCGGCGGGCGGUGGUCAGCGCUGGUCAUCCGCUGCAUCAGUUCCCAUGUUAGCAGCAGGUUGUUGACGUUGCUGGGUGUCGGCUUGCUCCCAUUGGUACUAUACUGCACGGUCCCAAUUCUUGCCAUUGCAACCUUCUUCUUGAGAAGAUAUUUUUCCAUCCCUGGGUGGAUCGUCGGCGGAGACCACAAAGGCUUCACGAUCUGGCAUGGUAGAGUUGCUCUCGACGUCGUCUCCAUAAGGGUUCCGUGUUAGGAUGAUGCGGGGGUUCUGGAACUCGCCACAGUCUAGAAACUAGGCAGGUCUGGUGGGUCUUCAAAUUUGAUCUGAAGAGACUGCGCGAGUUUCACGGAAAACACGGCAGCCGAGUUCCUCAAACAAAAGGGGGCGUGGGAACGACCCUGUGCUGACCUUAUGGCUGCUCUACCCUCAAGUUGCCCCAUCAUGUACUAGAUCUAUUGCUCUGCUGCGGCCUACAGGAUCCAAUAGCUACUCCAUCCACCCGAUAUUCUCUAUGGUUCCCACUAUCACCCUAUUCUGCAACAACUACGAUUGUUGUAUUUUGGAGGAUAGACGACCAUUGGGCAGGUGCAAAUUUUCACCCAUUAGUCUAGCUCUAACUGCUAGCCCUACUCGCCAGCAGCUAUGGAGAUUGGCAGUAGCCAACAAUGUUGAUUGAAUAUGCAACUCUCCCCCUCUCUCUCCUCCCCUCCCUCCUCUCUCUCCCACUUCUUUCCUCUACCUUCCUACCUCUCUCUCUAUAGCUACCUCUAGUGAUGAUGAUUGUCGUGAUGAGAAUUGUGUCAGGUUAGGUGCGGUGACCUCAUUAUUGGGCGGCCACCAUGUUUCUCGAGGGUUCUUAUUCUCAUAUGUCCUUAUAUAUGGCCAUGCGGAUGCCUCGCUAUUGCUAGUACGGGUAGGCCCUCUUUCACAGUGAUUUGUCUCUAGGAUCCAUUAUUUGUUUCUUUCUCCUUCUAAUAUUUCACGUACACCAUGGUUUGUAGUUACUUGCAAAGAAGUGGCUUGCAUCUUCUAGCUCUCUAUGUUGCAUGAAGUUAGCAAGCAUCCAUGACAGAUACUAUAAUGUACCUAGAUGAAAGGCUUAAGAAAAAGCAAGCAUCCAUGGUGCAAUUUGUUGCCACCAACAUUCACACUUCUUGUGUUCAAUUUAUGCACUAUGCUUUUGCUUCGCCUUACGUAGAUUCCUCCACUCUUCUAUCUUGUGGCCCUAAGCUGAUGACUAAAGUCCAUCAGGAGGUUAUGGCCCUCGAUGUUGCACAAAGUUAGCACACGUUCAUGGUGCAAGUUGUUGCUACCGACAUCCACACUUCCAUUGUUUGAUUUAUGCACUAUGGCUCUGCUGUCGUCCCAUGUAUACGCCUCCACUCUUCUAUCUCGUGGCCCUAAGCUGUCGACUAAAGUCCACCAAGAGAUUGGGUAUGGUCUCGUUGCAAAAGCUACAUGACCUUAAAAUUGAAUGAGUUUGGUACAUGGGUUCUCUUCUCUAAUACUAAGCAUUACAGUCAUAAAACUCAAUUAUCUAUAUAUUCUUUUUUAUUAAUAUGAUAAUUUCUUAACUCUCUUGAUGAACAUGAUGACUUCUUAACGCUAUGUUAUUGAGAUAAUAAUAAAUUAUACUGAAGGAAAGUGCAAGAGAAAAUAGAGAAAUAAGGAAAACUGUUUGCGGCUAGUUUAUUUUUUGUUUUGUUUUGCUAAAAAAGAAAAGAUGUUUGGUAUGUAGAAGUAAAAAGUAUACAUUUGAAUGCCUCGUUCAUGCAAGGAUGCGAUACGUAUGCAAAAAGAAACAAAAGAUAUUUAGAAAUUUGUUUUGUUACUCUGACUCUUCUCUAAUUGAGAUAUGAUUUAUUUCCAAACACAUUUUUUCUCAUCCCUACCAUAUCUUAUCAAUGUAGCAGGUUGAGUCCAUGUAGGUUUAAAACCACCUCCCAUAUCAUAUUUCGUAGAUAAUAUUUUUAAUUUUUAAUUUAAAUAUUUAUUUGUCUUAUACGAUAUGGUCUCUUUAGAUUAAUAUAGACCGAUUAAUAUGACCGCUAGAUCUUAUAAACUUGGAAAUAUGGAAGACAUAAUAUAUAACUUAGGAGUAGGCAGUUAGAUUAAACCAAAGGUCCUUUAUGAAGAUCUUCACAAAAAUUUGGUUUAAUCAACUUUAUCUGCUGUAGGCAGUUAAAUGAUCAUAAAAUCCAACACUUAUAUUAUUCAAAUUAACUUGGAAAUUGCUAACCCUUAAGAGUACACGUGGUGGCUUAUACCUACAACAAUAUUGAGAUAAUAGAUUACCUUUCGAAAAAGGAGUAAUAGAUUACUUAUAGUUUACUUCUAUAACUAUCAUAUAUAUAGACUGCCUGAAUAUUUUCUUAAGACAUUGUCUUAUUUCUAGAUAAUCAAUGAUGAAUUGUUUCUUACGUAUCUUUCCAAUUGUUGCUCAUAUUAUAUCUUUCUCAGAAUAAACUUGUUCAGUCACAUCCAGUUGGGACGUCCUCGUCCCCUAAAUUUCUUGCCAUAGAAUCCCAUUUGUUUUAGUUCGAGAAGCAGAACUUAUCAAUGUAUCCAUGUACUCGAGUGGGCACUCUCUUACUCUGCUAUUUCCAGCUUGUUAGUGCUUUUUUAGACUGUUUGUUAGUGCUUAAAUACCGCUUUCUUUACCACAAUUAUCCAUCUCCACAGCACUUCCAUUGCUUUUGCUAGUAUCACACACAACACCAAGGACAGCAUGCCAACGCUAAUAUUUUGAAGCCCUCGUCUUUAGAUUUGCAUAUAUCCUUCCACGGAGUUCGUUGUCAGUGGAGCAUCGUUGUAGGAGACACAGCCGGUGGAGCAGCAUCGACGGGAGUGCUUUGGAGGCGGUUGUCACGAUACACUGAGAGAGUGGCGACCGUGCAUAGGUAGUGCGUCUCGGCAGCAUCAAGGACAUGGCCACAUGGCCUUGCGGGAUCAUCGGAUAGGCUUGUGCGAAGGACGGCGAAGUUGAUCGCCUUGGACGAUCGCAGCGACCGGCGUGUUAGAUGACUACCGCAUAAGAAGCGUUCCUUGCUUUCUUUCCUUGCAUAGGUGGCGAGGUAUUUUUUUUAGGAAAGUUUAUUUCCUAAUAGAGAAGAACCAAAGUUAAAUCAAUAAAGACUUGUAUCUCGAUGUGUUUUCAAUUAUAGCAAUUUAAUAUAUAUAUAUAUAUAAUUAAUUGUAUCCCACAUGGACUUUUUGAGUUAAUCUAAGACCAUUAGAUCUUCAUAUAAUCCAAUGGUGUAUAUUCUUCUCUUUUUUUAGGUUAACGUGGGAAUUUCUAGACCCUCUCGGUGAACGUGUUGGCUUCUUUUAACACUAUUGUAUUAAGAUAAGUAGAGAGGUUGCCCGCGCAAAUAGCGGAGGUAGCUAGUUUUCUUUCGUACUAAUAUUUAUGUUUAUUUACUUAAAAAUAUUUUUUUAUUUGAAUGAUUUUGUGUUGUUCUUUCAUUAUCCUUGUUUUUUAAUCAAAGUGGCGUGGGGCAAAAUAUUCUUAUGUAGCAUGGAACAUGAAUUCGUUUUCAAUAUAAAAGAGAAUAGUUAUGUAGAAACAUAGUUUUCGAUAUUUAUUGAAAGUAAUAAAAUUAUUUUUGUCUUUAGUUGUAUUUCAUCAUCAUAAAAGUUGAAGCCUUCUCGAUGCGAGCUCCUCCUUGUGCUAACCACGUGAUUGUACUUAUAGAUAGAUGGCAUUGAUCUACGAUCAAUACAUUUUGCCUUUUGUUACAUACUAAUCAAGGCUGCUUCAAUUCUAUUCAACACAAAUUCUAAUUUCAAUAUGGAGUUUGAGUUGCAAUAUCCAUGUAUUACUCCAAUUUAUUUUUUUCUCAUAUCUACGUUUUAUCCAUUCUUUUUUAAAAAAUCUAACCGUUAAAUCUAUACUUGCAUUACCAAUGUGGCUUCACUCGUUCUAAGCUAGGAUGUUGGAUCUCCUCAGCUUUUUCCCCUCAUCGCACCCCUGCUGAUUUAAUAAAUAAGUUAGAGCUAACCUUUACAUUGUGCGCUAUGCUAAUCAUUUGCAGUCUUUUUUCAAUGUUUUACACGAUUAUUUUAAUUUGGAGCUUUCAAUCAAAAUAGUUUUAUUGUGCAUAUAUCAAGGUAAUAUAUCUUCACCUUUUGGCUAAGUCAAAAAACUUCUUUGAUCUUUGAAAAAAAUAUUAAAUCCUAGCUUCUCUAUUUACCCUUCAAUGACCUCUCCUCUUGUAACAUCAAUAUUGUUUACAAAUCUUCUUUUAAAUAUUUUUUGUAUUUAUUUGAUUUCUUUGUCGAUUGGUUUGAUGUUAUUUUUUUGGAGUUUCUGGCUUGUAGCACUUUAUCAACCUUUCUGGAUUUCUUCACAUUGAAAAUUCCAUAAUCAAAUAUGUUAGAAUACUAAAUUAUGUAUUCAGAUUAUGGCCUACUCUAUGUUGUGUUUGUGUCUACUAUUGACCAGCCCUCUGCUUGGCGUGUGCUACCUGAUAAGGUGGUUUGUAUCACCACUGCUCAAGUUUGACUCUGGCCAUUAAUAGAUUUGGCGAUUAACGUGCACUUGACUACCCAACCAUUAUCGCUUUUACCCACAUAUUCGUGCCAUCAUCUACCAUUGUCAUUCCUCCUCCUCUCUAUCCCCAUGUGGUAGCUUCAAUCAAUGUAUCGCUCCCCACAGGUUCGUGCCGUCAUCUACCGUCGUCAUUGCACCUGCUCUCUACCACCGUGUGGUAGCUUCAAUUGACGUAUCGCUCCCAUAUAAACCUCAUGUCGUAUCGCUCCCAUAUAAGCCUCAUGCCGUAUCGCUCCCAUGUAAGCCUCAUGCCGUGUGCACCAUGCGCACUACUGCGCACUACUGCAUCCAAAGACCAACGGCACAAACGACGGAUUAUUGACCAAACACUAAUCUUAAAGCAGAUAAUAUCUCCUAUUGGAAAUUGAGGUGGUCUUAAUACCCACUAAUCUAAGGACCUACACCUAGGACACCAACUCACUCUGGAGUCGGUCAACCCUUUUAAUUUCUAGUUACUUAGUGCGACAGGUUCUUUUGAUGGCAGAGCCAUCUUCUCACUUCUGGGUGGCAGAGCCUACUAACAGAUGAAGAUGACUUCCGGGUGGCAGAGCCAACCUACGAUGAAGUCCAAACCUUGUGAUCCCGAGUGACAGAGCCAACCUUCGAUGGAUCACAACUUAUGCACUAAGUACUUAGAAACUAUAUGGUCCAACCGGUCCAACAGGGAGACUAACACUAAUAAGAAACAUAACUUUGUUACAACACAACAAUAUUACACAAGAGUGUACAACACCCUCUCUUUAGUGGCUAGCCUAGCUCCCACCCUUUACUUCUACCAUAGUCCACUCAUCUAUCAUGCUCAUGGUUGAAUGGCAUGGUAAGGAAGGGGAUAUCUAUUUGUAGGCUAAGGAAGUUCAUAGGAUGAUGACAUGUGUCCCCUUCUAGAUUUUUCACUAGAUAAAUAUCUAUGUUCUACACUAUUUUAAUUUCUUCAUGGCAACAACAUCUAGUACCUUCAUGAAAAAUAUCAUGGAUCAUGAGUUGUGGGGAAGGCUCUAGAAGUUUGUAUUGCUUUCCCUCAACAUCUCCUUCUCUUCUCAUUUUAGCUUGCCAUGCAUGAUUGUGAAGUUUAUUGCCGAGGCAAAAUCAAGCUCAUCUUCUGUGACUCUUGGCUGGUUCUUCACCAACAUGUGCAUGCUUGAUCGAUUUGCAUUGGCAUCCGGUGCGUUAUUUGCUGCAUCCUCCGCUAUCAUUCUUGGCUCGAUUUGCAUGUGCACGCAUAUUGUAGUUGCAGAGGCCAUCCAUCCAUCAUACCGUUUCUUUGACCAGCCAAGCCUAGCUAAUGUAUCAUGCUAAUCCAAUAUGGCACUGGCAUGGAAUGAUCUUUGGGUAUUAUGUGGUCGUGUGUGUGUUGUUUUUACGACGAUGGAGAUGAAUCUCUAGUACAAAGAGGGAGAGAUCUCAACUUCUGAAGCAUGCAAUGCAAUUGCAAUGCCAGGUGGAAAAGCAAGGCUAAACCGUUGCUGAUGUGCGUGUUGGCCGAGCUAGUUCAAUCAUCGCUGAAUUCACUUGUCAUAGUUAUACAUGCUUGGCCAUAUCCGCAUCAGCUCGAACAAAAGGAUAGUUGCGCUAUACAUUUGCGUUUGUAACUCAUUUUCCUUUUCUAUUCUUACGUGCUAAGGUAUGAGACUUGUUUUGGCUACUAAACAUUCUUUUUAACAUGCUAAAUCCAAUUGUUUGAGACCCCACGCAUGUAUCUCCUUCCAUAUCUUCUCAGUGUCCUGGUAGGAUUGUUACUUUUUUUUUCUCAAGUUCAAAUUCCAAAGCUAGCUGCAUAGUAAAUUAUAUUUAACAUGGAUUGUUUGUUUAAACAUAGGCCAUUAGAUCUCCAUAAAAUUCAAUGGUAUAUAUUUUUAUCUUUUUUAGAUUAAUGUGAUAAUUUCUUAACCCUCUCAGCAAACGUGGUGAUUUUUUUUAACACUGUUGUACUAAGGCGGAUAAACCUUUCGGUCCCGUACCCGACGCAUGCGAACCGCUUCGUCGGCCUCGCACGUCGUCCUACCAUCAAUCGUUUUGUAUCGUCCGACUAUUAGCAUCCUAACACAAUCGCUCCGCUCGCUAAUUGCCCCGCCCCCGCUCCCUGUUUUUCCGCGUGCUAUCGGCGCCCGCAUGCAAUCGAAGCAGCCCACCCAAGCGCAACAACAAGGACAUAAGUUAUCGUCCUAUACUCCGGCCUGAUUUAUUCCUUCUCUCUUUCAUUCUCCAUUCUUUAUCUUAUGGUGAUCAAAACCACGUUCUAAGCGAUCCAUAUCAUGAUUCCCUUUGCAUACCGAUACGUCGAUCCUGGACUGCUCCGUGGUUUGCGCCGCCACCGGCCAGCCAGCCAUGACGCGCCUCCGAGCCUAGCCCGCCGCCUUGGUCCGUGGUGUAGCCGGAUCAUUGGCAAAUUGAGGCCUACGAUCCUGGGGUUUGCUCUAUUUGCGUCAUCGCCUUUCACCUUCACGCGGUCAUGCCAACCUGGUGGGGAUGUCUACAACCGGCGGCGCCAUGCUCACAUCGCACGGGUUACAAACGAUGGAAGUUGUCGCCGUUCGCGUGUCGCGAUCAAGAUCUCUUUGUGCUGCGUGGCCGGUGGAUCGGACACCUGUGCGAAACACCUACUCGCCUGUGAUGAGGGCCGCCGCUCUCCUUUUCUGUCCUGAACGGGUGUGCGGGCUCCGAUACUCUCCUGCGUUGGGCGCUGUCGCAUUGGCAAGGUCGUCGGGUGUCGUGGGCGAACGCGUCACGCACGACAGCACGACGCGGUGUGCUGGCCGGGGCGGCGGCGAGCGCUGGACAGAAGACAGAGGAUAGAACGGGCGGUGGGCGGUCGCUUAUGGCGGCAUGCAUGCAUGGGCGGUGGCAACCUGCGGAUAAAACACAGGAGCCAUGCAGUUGUGUCGAGCGAAAAAAAAGCAAGGGCGGGGGGCAGCACUGCUGCAACGACGAACAGGAACUGCCUCUCGUCGCCAGGCCUCUUCUCUCCUCAACAUGGAACUUAAACUUAUUGUUAUAGGAAAUAAUGUUUACAAAGUUGCUAGUCUGAUAGUCUCUUUCCGUUUGUAUUGGAUGCAGAGUGCUAAUUUAUUUGAUUUUUAAUUCGGAUGUUUAGAAUUCCAAUUUUUAUAUAUUAUAACUUAUAUUCGAUAAGGACUCUUUAAUCUAAUAUAGACUGUUAGAUGUACUGAAAUAUGAGCUUGAGUAUUUGAUGGUGCAACUCCUGAAGGCAGUAAACCCACAAAAGGUUUCAAACUUUUUUUUUGUCUAAUGGUUGAGGGACAGAUACCUAAUUACUAUGCAUUUUUUUAAAACUGUGUCGAUUCUGUCCAUCGACCAAAAUUUACAAGAACGAGCAAGGUACCAAGGUCCAAAUAUACAUUGAGAAAGCCCAGUUCAAAAGCUAUUAUUGUCCCAGAGUAAUAUAUGGUAGGCCCAGAUGAGAUGGGAAAUAGAAGCGCACAAUUCAAGUUUUCAUAUAACUGUCCAGAGGUAUGCAAAUUUCUUCAGAUCGCAUAUGGCCAUAGGGGGCAUGCACGAAGAACAUAGUGCAUUUCCUCCACAUUCAGAUUUCGGAAACACCCGCCAAGAAAAGAUCAGCUCAAGAACAAAAACAAACAUACACAAAGAUGCAUGUAAUGGUCUAUUUGACUAUGUAUUUACCUGUUCUCCCAGUAAACAUUACAGUUUCUUUUCAGUUCUGAGACACCUACAUUAAGCAUACAGGUAAUUUUGCACACCUUUUUCUUCUCCUUAUUCCUCCACUAUGAUUCCUGUUCUUUCUUUCUUUCACUAAUCAAAACUCUCUCUUUCUUUAUCUUUCUCAUAUUAACACUUCAAAAAAAUUUAAUUAUAUGGAAGCUAGUAAUUAAAGCUUAUUACGAGAAAGAAAAAAGAAUUUCCCUGCCUCCGGAACCAUCCUUUUUAUCUACACUCCGCCGCCUCAUCAGCCGUCCCCCUCCUGCACCCCUCCGGCGCCGCCGUGGCGGCGGCCAGCCGGUGGAGCCUGGCAAAGACGCCGACCAUGGGCGCGGUGUUGUACGUGCAGGCCUCGGUCUGCAUGUAGUUCCCGCGGUCGUCCCGGAACUCGUCCCGGCAGUUGGGCCCGCCGACGAUGGCGCCGGCGAGCACGUUGGGGUUGGCCCGGCCCCGCCCGAACCAGUCGUCGAACCCCUGCAUGCACCCGAUGAAUCGGCUGUUGGCCUUGUGCGCGACGAUGGAGGCGCCGCGGUGGUGCACGCGCACCGGGUACCGGCGGCCGUAGCCGACCAUGUAGCUGAGCCCCAGCGGGUUGCGGCCCAGGAUGUAGUCGGCCUGCGACCGCGCCAGGGCCAGCAGGUCGGCCGGCGCUGCCGCGCCGCGGGGGCAGCGGAGGAGGAGGGGCCCCGCCGAGUCGGAGAGGUAGCGGGAGUAGGCGGUGAGGAGGAAGGCGGCGCUGGAGACGUACUGGAGGUUGUUCCACUGGCGCACGUAGAGCAUCCCGCCGGGGCUCCGCUCCACAUUGUCGCUGCCGUUGCCGUUGCCGCCGUUCAGGCCCAGGCACGCGCACAGGUAGUGCUCCGCCUUCGCCUUGUACUGCUCCAGCACCGCCCGGUGCGGCAGGGCAUGCGGGUCGCCCUCCAGCAGCAGCUGUUGUUGGAUCAGAGUAGAAACCAAAAACUCGUUCAUCAAUCUUUACAUUCUUACAUUACUGCUAGGUAGGUAACUCAGUAACACGACUCAAUCGUGACACAGAAAUGCAAUGCAAGUAUGCAACACCAUGCAUGGGCGGCAUCAAUGUCAGCAGGACGCAUGCAGCACGACGGUGCCCAUGUGUCCGAACUGUAUCGAUUGACCAAAUGUCAAAUCAACACCGACAGCGCAACCCCAACCAUCAAUCGAUCUUUUUCAGUCUGAUUCAGGCGUUAAUCGUGUUAAAAACCGAAUCAAAAUCGUGCAAAUGCUAGGUUUCAGGCUGCCGCUGUGUAAACUUUGCAUUGAAAGGGCCUGAACGGCAUUCAGAAGAGAAUCAGAGAUACUGCAGCAGCAGCAGACAGUAGCAAUCAAGCAACUGCUCGCAAGCAAGAACUGCGAUCCAGCUCGAUAAUUCCGAUCGAACAGGCGAACCCGAUCCCGCGGCGAUCUCCGAUCCACUGAUUCGGCCGGCGCAGGGAUGCUGUCGGUGCGCGAGGCGACGGGCCACAUGCACGGUGGCCCGACUCGCUCGGUCGCCGUCGCUUUCCGCCGCGGUGCAAUGCAACCUCUGAGUCUCUGACUCACCAUCCUCCCUAGUCUCAUGGGAUGGGACUGCUGCCACGCGCUCUGCUCGCCGACCGGUGGGGCCCUGUGGUGGUGGGACUGCUGCCGUACCGGCGCGGCCAGCAGCGGCCACGUCGCUGCCCCGAUUUAAAGCUCGGGAGGGAGAUCCCGCCCCGCCAGCUUUUGGCCCAAAAUGAAUCCGAGCUUGGAAUAAUAAAUGCGAGAUAUUCCAUUUUUAUUACUAAUAUUUAUAUCUAUAUAAGACGUGCAUGUAUUUCAAGAUUUAUAAAUAUUAUUAUUUUUAUCAACAAUUACGUAAUAAGUUUUUAAAAAAUCGUUUGGUUGACAUUCAAAACUACUACUCCCUCCGUUCCAAAUUAUACUCCCUCCGUUCCAAAUUAUAGUUCGUUUUAACUUUUCUAGAUACAUAGAUAUUAUUAUGCAUCUAGACAUAGGGUAUAUCUAAGUGCAUAACAAAGUCUAUGAAUCUAAUAAAGUUAAAACGACCUAUAAUUUGGGACGGAGGGAGUACUUAUGUGAUUUUAUUGCUACAAGCAUUGCACUCCAUGUCAAGUCAAUUCACACUUCUUUUUAAAGGAAAAGUCAAUCCACACUUUAUAUAUAUUUUUUUGGAAUAGAGGGAGUAUCAAGGUUAACGGAUGGGCUUGCAAAUAUGAAGCAACCUAUAGUGUGUAGUAGCACUUAGGUUUAGACAAAUCAGUACAAGUCAUACUAGGCUAUGGAACCCUAAAUACAUCUUAGCUACCCCUGAUAGAGCCACGGAAGCUUCUUGCGAGAAAUAAUGCUCGGGCACACGUCAAGACUCUGGAGAUAAACGUGGACGUCACUACCAGUGGAGCGCGCGAAAAUAAAGGUGACAGAGAGAUCGUCAGCUAGCUGCCUAGCUGUAUUCCAUGAACGUUCACUUCAGAAACUGGAUAUUUUGUUCCGUUUUCUUCUUCUGGGCAUCACCAAUUAAUUUGCAUGUGUUUGGGAUCGUUGACACGGCAACAGAAGAGCCCAAGCUAAAGAAUGGUAUUAGCCCAACAGUCACUUUGAUAGCGACAUUUGCUUGGACGGGUCGGAUUAUUUGCGGUUAAUUCGUACUGCUCCUACCAUGGAUCCCUGAUUGCUUGCAGAUGAAUCCCACUACAAACUUUGGUUGUGGUUAAGUACGUUGUGGAAAUAUAAUAGAUAAAAAUAUUGCUACGCCUCUUGUUUUGUUUCUUCACGGCAUUUAGCAGCGAAAAUUUCAGCUAUAUAUGUCAUAUGUGCAGCUGUCAGAGUGACUGUGCAAGGAACGGCUCCUAUGAGGCUAUGUGCACCCAAUUUCUUUACAAAAAAAAUACCAGAAAUAUAUAAGAAGAGGUGAAAACCAGCAGUUGAUGUGUAUUUUGAGCAUAUUGUCGGUCAAGUCCAAACAAAAUAUCAACAUCUGUUGUUCGCAGUUUGUUUUUAAAUGCCAAUAUCGAGAACAUACAAGUUGGCCAUGAAUGAAAACAUUCCAAGAAUUCGGCAUUUAAAAAUCUUUUUUUCCUACUUUUCUAUAUCAUACCACAAUUCGGAAGUUGGUAUAUUUUGAGCAUGUAUUGUCCAUCAAGUCCAAACUAAAAUGUCAACAUCUGGUAUUAGUUGAUAUUUUUUAAAAAAAAAUAAAUGCCAAUAUCUACACAAGCUGGCCAUGAAUUAAAACCUUCAAAUUAAAGAAACCAGCAUUUUAAGCCUUCAAAGAAACUAGCAUUUCAUAUAAAUAUUUCACUGAAAAUUAGUGGCUACUAUAUAAUAAUUACCAGUAGUACCAAACUUUUUUUUUUGCGGAUACCAGUAGUACCAAACUAACACAUAAUUUUUUUGUAGAGUUUUGUCUGGAAGCUUCCAGUUUUCAUUCGACGGUAAUGCGCAGGUAACAUUCAAUAACCAUGCACGUUCCGCAUGUAAGGUUAUCAUCACACAUUAGUUUGAUUAGCACUACUAUCUAGUUUUCUUUUGACCAGAAAGCGCUUUACGUGCGAUCUUUCCACUUGAACUCGGUGUGCAUGUAUGUGUUGAGAAUUACCACGAUCUAUUCCGUGAAGAACAGGCUAGCUAGCUGUCCAUACAGUGACUGCACCGGAAAGCAAUGGUUCUGGAGUCCGGACCCAAAGCGCAUGGAGCGCGCGUACAAGUGCAUCACUAUCUACCAGUUCUUCGACAGCGAGGCCGAAAAAAAAAAGGCGAUCCAGGUCACCCGUCCACGUCGGACGCCCGUCGCGACAUGUGGAAUUUCCGCGUCGGCAUACAAGCUUACAGCGAUCGACCUCGCUAGCUAGCUCUACGCCUAGCUACGUCGCGCAACCGGCCGGGACUGCGACGAGCACGACGCGCAUAUCGUUCUCGAUCGGGGCCGGGGGGUCCGGCCCGUCGCGCCAAGUCAUGGCGUCAUGGAGGAGGAGAAGAUCGAGCACAAAACUUGACGCGAAAAUGGGCAGGCACGCCGAGAAGGCCAGGCCAUCUAAAGCCAUGCACGGCUACGUUUCGUCAGCUUCCAUCCGGAUCCUUUAACUAGGUGCCGAUGCUCGAAGCGAACCCCCACCUGACCCACCC
Molecule: long non-coding RNA, 51430 nt
Filed under: Setaria viridis
Lineage: Eukaryota; Viridiplantae; Streptophyta; Magnoliopsida; Poales; Poaceae
Description: long non-coding RNA (SVIR_LNC002092)
Source: RNAcentral